GUUCAAGUAACUCAGGCUGGGAUGCUGAUAGCAGCUGGCAGGUGCUAUCGUGCCUUACAGCUUAAAAAAAAACAGCCAAGAACUCAUGGAUAAUUUGUGGGACCAGUGAAUAAUUUAAGGGACAUCGCAGAACAGGUUGGAUCUGGUUUUGUUCCAGCCAGAAGAUGAUGGUCAACCUCAAGCAGAUCAGCAAAAUAAGAUUAGAAGAGUUGAAGUAAACCAUCUCAUUGCCCCUGGCUGAAGACCAUACUUGAAUGGGGUCAUUUCAGUUUGUGGCUCAGGUGAGACUAUACAUAGCAUGUGUGCAUACAACUAUGGGCAUGACUCAGCCAUGUCAAUAUUUUUUUUUUUUUAAGUCCCAUCGAUUUCCAUUGCAGAGUUAAGGAUGUGCUUAAAUUCUACUAAGGGAUGUGUGUGGCGCUGUGGCCUAAACCACCAAGCCUCUUGGGCUUGCAAUCAAAAGGUCAGUGGUUCGUAUCGCCAUGAUGAGAUGAGCUCCUGUUGCUCUGUCCCAGCUUCUGCCAACCUAGCAGUUCGAAAGCAUACCAGUGCAAGUAGAUAAAUAGGUACUGCUGUGACGGGAAGGUAAAUGGCGUUUCCGUGCACUCUGGCACUUGUCAUGGUGUUCUGUUGUGCCAGAAACGGUUUAGUCAUGCUGGCCACAUGACCCGGAAAGCUGUCUGUGGACAAACGCUGGCUCCCUCAGUCUGAAAAGUGAGAUGAGCGCCGCAACCCCAUAGUCACCUUUGACUGGAUUUAAGCGUCCAGGGGUCCUUUACCUUUUACUUUUAAAUUCUGCUUUAAAUCAGUAGCACGUAAAAUGAUUAGUAAGGGCCAAUUUACUACUGAGUAACAGUGUGAUGAGAGCAUUGGUUCAGGCACUCCUGCGGAAUCUGUCACACAGCGAAAACUGUACACUGAAAUUGCAAUUCAAUUCAGAAUUUGUCAGUGUGUAACCAGUUUUGGGAGGUUGGGAGAAGGGAUGCAGAGAUCUGUUCUUUUUGGUUUCUCUCGAUUUUUCAUUCCCUAUAUCUUCAGUUAGCUACAUUUCUACAUCAGUUUGCAAUAAUAAAAAUUAAAAACUCAUUGGGGAAAAUUACCAGGAUUUUAGUGAGCGUUUAUCCUAAUGUACACAUAUUUAAUGCGAUUUUGCCAAUAUACAUAUUUUUGAAGCAAUUUCCCCUAAUGUAAUGCACUUUUGUAUGUUAUUUUCAUUAAAAUGUGAAUUCAUAUAUGCAAUAUACCGGUAUGUUGGCAGUCAUAUGUCGUGAGACACUCUUCUAGUAGAGAUUCAGCCAGGCACCAUUACAGUGGUACCUCGGGAUAAGUACUUAAUUUGUCUGUACUGAAACUGUUCUUAACCUGAGGUACCACUUUAGCUAAUGGGCUUGCUUCGCUAAGACUGCUAGCCGACGACUCGCCGGAGCACUAAUUUCUGUUCUCAUCCUGAAGCAAUAGUUCUUAACCUGAGGUACGUAUUUCCAGCAGUUACGCUGAUGUCAUGUAACCUUGAAUGUCAUUUCAUGUAAACUGUGAAGUCGUAUAUGUAACACAUGAUGGUAGCCACUGUACUUGUGAUUUCCAGGUGUCUUUUGAAGAGCUUUUCUUAUGCCAAGAGGCCUAUGCAGUUACAUACAAUCUUCUUGAAUAGCUAAUCCCUCUAAUGAUUGAACUAUACUGCUUUGAAUGGUUUUUAACUCUUUUUAUUGCUGUAUACUGCCCUGAUAUUUUAAGAGAGGGUGGUAUGUAAAUACUUCAUUUGCCUAUUAAAUGCACGCUUCCUCCUAAUAUACACAAUUUUGUACACAUUGUUUCUUGGGAGAAAUGCAUAGGGAAAUUUGGAGAAGUCCAGAUUUUGAAGGAUAGCUGUGUUUUGAUUUCAUGUAUUGUCUGGGAUUAGUUAGGUUCACACUGAAAUGCCUACUUCACCUAAUUCUCUCCCUUCCCUCCCUGUUAAAGGUAAAGGGACACCUGAACAUUAGGUCCAGUCGUGACCAACUCUGGGGUUGCGGCGCUCAUCUCGCUCUAUAGGCCGAGGGAGCCGGCAUACAGCUUCUGGUCAUGUGGCCAGCAUGACUAAGCCGCUUCUGGCGAACCAGAGCAGCGCACGGAAACGCCGUUUACCUUCCCGUUGGAGUGGUACCUAUUUAUCUACUUGCACUUUGACGUGCUUUCGAACCACUAGGUUGGCAGGAACAGGGACCGAGCAAUGGGAGCUCACCCCGUCGCCCCUCCCUGUUAGGCAGUGGUAAAUAUCAGCUAAGUUUUGCACUGGGUUCUAAUGGAAGAAAUCGCUCCAUGUCUUGCUAUGUUCUCCUUAAAUUUAUACUCUUUAUAUAUGUGGGUGAGCAGGGAAACCCUACAUGAUCAUUAUUAAUUUCUUAUAAUGGUAAAUUGUAUUCCCUUUCCAUUUGAUUAGUUGCUUUCCCCCCAACCGUUCUGUUAAGUAGGUUAGGCUGAGAGAGAUUGAGUUGCCCAGGGCUGCUUGUUGGGCUUCAAAGAUGCCAAAGGAAUCAAAACAGGAUUUCCCCAAACCUAAGUACAAUAUUUGAGCCACCAUACUACAUCCAGAGUUAAGUUCUCAGUCUUUCCUUGAAAUUAUUGGCAUUUGAACGCCAAACGUCCUUUGGAUCAUGGCCUCAGCCUAGUAGGGCUGGAUCUGACAUUUCUAUAAAAAUAAUGAUAAAAAGUAGGUACUACUUUACAGCAUCCCCUUGGAGUUUAACCUGAGCUGUGCAAUUUUCACGUCGGGAGUAUCUGCAUGUGAUAAGCAGUAUUCAUCACAAACUCAUUCAAGGGCAAAAUGUUGUCAUUUAUAGCAAUUCACUUUAGCUGAAGCUCAGAGAGCUGCAGGGAAUUGCAGAAGAAUUCUGUUCCAGGAAUUUGACAGAGUACUAUGGGAUAACCACAGAGAUCAACAGUGAUUUGAGGAUGAGUCAGAUGAGAGUGCCGAAAGGCUUCACAAAUGUUUAUUAUUAUUAUUAUUGUUGUUGUAAAAUAAUCUCUUAGGUCAGCUCAAAUUCUAAGCCAGAAAUAUUUCCAACUUUGCAAGAGAGUUCAUGGCAGAUGGAAGCAGGUCAGGAGGAGGAUAUAGAAUGUGCCGGCUGCUUCCUCUAAUUUAAAUGUCAUAAAAUAGGAUAUUUAGCCUAUCCAGGGCUGGUCUAAGACACCUUCUUCCUGAGGCAAAGGACAAGAUGGUGCCCUGCUCCUAUUCCACAUUCAGAAGCUGACUGGGUAGGCAGGUUUUACUUCAGCACUGGUGACAAGAUAGCAUCUGAAGGCAGCAGGUAGUUUAUAGGCUCCAGGAGAGACUACAUGGCACAUGAAACUCUGUCCUCCAAGAGGCAAAUGGCUGGAAUCUGCUGCCUCUGGCCACUGUCAUUUGCUGCCUGAGGCAAUUUCCUCACUUUACUUAAUGGUAGGACUGGACCCUGGCCUUUACACAAAGUAGAUGUGAAAGGAAAACUUACCGCAGUAGCUGCAGCCCCAUAAACAAUUCCGUUUUUCUAGUGAUGGCCAUGACAGUUCAGGUGAAGCCCUAAGCAUAGGACGUGACCUCCAUGGAAAGGAGCAAUGUAAAGAAAAGUACAAUCAGAGUGGAGGAUAUGGUGACAUUGCUUGGAUCACAUCCAGUACAAUAAACUGUCUGAAAACCUGUGUGCACCUGACACAAGUUAUGAAAUAUACUCUGUGACAGGUGCCUAGAGCAAUCUUUGCUGAAGCUCGGGUGAGUUAAUACUCACGUGCCAUAUCUUUGAUGGUGUCUGAGGAGAUCUAUGGUUCUAGUCCAGCUGCUGCUGAUAUUUUUUUUUGUUAGUUGUUUAGUAGUGUUACUGAACUGAUUUUACUAGCUAUGGGCUUCCAAUUGCACCUUUCUUCAUUGUAUUAGCCUACCUCUCGGUUCCCCUCCCAGCUAUCAGGAACUUGAAUUCUAAGGAACUCUGAAUUCUAUGUGUCAGAUGGCAGUGGUGGUUGCUCGUGAGUAACCAGUCAGGGCUCCGACCUGUCUUUCACAGGUUUUUAUUUUGGUGCAAAACUAUUUACAGUGCAGAACCACAAGUUCAUGUCUGCCUCAAUCGCUACCAGAAUCUGGGAGUGGUCGUUUCCGGGUCCUCCCCCAACAUAAGAGCUUAGUCACCCCCAGCCUUUUCCUUCCUUCUUUGCGUUUUACACCUCUGUGCAGGGUGGGCAAUGGAAGAGGCGUGCUUCCCUCCUGGCCAGCUUGACCAGGAGUGGUGCUGAGGCUCCCAGCAGCAUCCUCUGGUCCCUUCUCCUCUUCCCCACUGGGGGUGUGGCUUUCCCCACCACAGGAAGAGGAACUGCUUCACAAGAUUUUCGGAGGUUCCCUGUAACCCAACUGCCCCUCAGCUUUCCUUCCCUGUUCCGAUGGCAGUCCCCUGGCACUAUGCAAUGCCUGCAGUUGUAAGACAGAUCUUAGCUUAGUAGGACCAUGCAAAUAUGAGAGCUCCAAGAGAGAAGCUCACAACUGCUUUGCUGCUCUCAAAUAAUUUUCACUGCCACCCUGUGCUAAGCCAAGGCAAGGUUUGGCUUGGCGUAGGUCUGAUACCAUCCAUUGGUAUUAUUUUGGCCAUCCCUACACAGUGUGGUUUCUUAAGCUGGAUAAAAGGAUGGUUUUGCUCAAAAAUGGGAGUUAUGGAGAAGAUUGAUGUUGCAAAGUAGGGAACAGGCUAAAUGAAAAUAAUUAGGCUAAAUAAAUAUAAAGACAAAAGAAUUUUGCCUGAAUAAAUGUCCUACUAGCUUUGAACACUCCUGACAUACUAAAUUUUGUGGUAGGUAUGAUCGUUAUAACUUCCUCCAAAACCUUGUGUUUUUCUGCUAGUGAUCAGGUAUGUUUGUAGUUAUGAUAACGUAAGCAGCUCUUUAAUUCUAAGAUAUUACUUGUUUUACUAUGACUGUAUUUUGAUGGGAGAUUUUGAAAGGCAUGGACUGUAAUUCAGGGCUGGGGAACUUUUUGCUCUGUAGAUGUUGUGGGAGUUCAUCAUCCAUAAAGCAGCAUGCCCAAUGUAGGGCUGCCAUAUGUCUGGAAUUUCCUGGACAUAGCCGGUAUUUGGCAGUCGUAAACACAGAAGCGUAGGAAGGGGGGUGCGGGGGGUGCGGACCGCCUCAGGUGUCAUCGCUGAGGGGGGUGACAUUUGGCGCGCCACCCACCCAUGACUCCCAAGCCUACCCUGAGCUGUUGGGGGAAGGGAGUUGCACCGCUUUGCCUUCAUUUUGACAGCUUGGGUGGGCGGCGUUUCCAGGGGUGACAUUCGGCGUGCCACCCACCCGCGACUCCCAAGCCUACCCCGAUCCCAUCAAUGUGAGGGGCGGGUGACAAAAAUUUUCUGCACUAGGUACCACCUGACCUUGCUAAGCCUCUGCGUAAACAGUGUCUAGGCGGAAAUCACAGAAAUGUCCUGGAAAAUCUUGAUGUAUUGCAACAGCUCAAAACCUUCACUUUUGUUUUUGAGAUUUUGCAAAAAAGCUCAACAACUUUUGUGUUUGGACUUUCACAACAUCUAGAGGGCCACGUAUUCUACAUUCCUGCUGUAAAUGGUAGACAUCUAUUUAUAUACAUUAAGUGCUACUUAUUAUGAUCAAACCAUGUACUGAUGUGUAGCAUUGUGACAAAGUCUUCCCUGUCCUUUUCGAAGUCUAAAAUAUAACAAAAUAACACAAAAAGUUGCAAUGAGCGCAACUUGCAUUGCAGCCAAAUGGUAUCGAUUGUACUUAAAGUACUCGGUGUCAGAGCUCCUGUUGGACAAACUGUACCUAUAAUUCAGAUGACAAAUAAUAUAAUAACACUGUAGGCAAAACAAAUUAUAAUGGGAAGAAUAUAUAAAAAGUUAAUUUAAAGUCACUCAUAAUUCCAGUAAUGAUUUCACCCACAGUGUUAACUUGCAGAAUGAAUGGCCAAUUGAAGUUAAUGGCCUCCAGCUCUCUUGCAUUUGCUCAUUAAUCUUUUGCAAGUCAAUGGGCUUUGGGUGACUCAAUAUAUGGGCACAGUUUGGUUCAAUACUCACUGUUCCUUUGGGCUAGCAGGGUGACAGAAGCUGGGCAAGACUAUGGCAUGCCUUAUCAGCGCUCCAUAAAUAAUACAUGUUGGUGCAAGGGAGCCAUGAAAGGUAAAUAAAAUUAAAGUUUGUCUGCUUUGGAUAAUUAAAGAUCUCGGAUACUUUGCAAAUGGAGUGGGAUUAUUGGACUGUGCCCCCAGGAGCAUGCUAAUGUACUCUAGAUGCCAUUGCAUUUGUCAGGAAUCUUUAGCUGAACCUGGUAAGUGAUUCUUCUGCUAGUGUUUCCCAGAGUUUCAUAGGUGUUCCUCUACCUGAUUCUUAUUCUUGUAGCCCUGACCUUUGAGCCAGAAGCUUUUGGAACGUUCUGUGCUUGCAGGUGAUUGACUGAAAAGCAUGGCGGUAGAUGAGGACGGAUAGCUAUCACUGUGUGUGUGUGUGUGUGUGUGUACAGUGGUACCUCAGGUUACAUACGCUUCAGGUUACACACACUUCAGGUUACAGACUCCCCUAACCCAGAAAUAGUGCUUCAGGUUAAGAACUUUGCUUCAGGACGAGAACAGAUAUCAUGCUCCAGCGGCGCGGCGGCAGAGGGAGGCCCCAUUAGUUAAAGUGGUGCUUCAGGUUAAGAUCAGUUUCAGGUUAAGUACGGACCUCCGGAACGAAUUAAGUACUUAACCUGAGGUACCACUGUGUGUGUGUGUAUGUGUAUGUGUGUAUACACACACACACACACACACACUUUUUUUUUUCUUUUUCAUUCAUUACAUACAUCUCAAAUUCUUAACAUUUACUAUAUAUUCCUCCCUCCCUCCCCUCCAGGGCUUCCCCCAACUUCCGCUUCUGGUUUGUUUCUAUUUUCACCCAGUUUGCUCUCUCUUAACAGAAACAGUUAUUAAUAACAUAACUUCAAGCCUAAAGUCAUAAAAAUAACAGUAAAUACACCAUCAUAUUUCACUAUCUUCUAAACAUUUUCUAAUGCUAAUAAUGUGAAUGUUUAUUUAAAUCCCACCAUCAAAUCUAUUGACUUUCUUUGUUUCUGCAAAUAUAAUAUGAAUGGUUCCCAAUCUUUUUCAAAGUCUCUGUUGUCUUUUUCUCUUAGUCUGUCUGUCAUUUUUGCCAGUUCUGCGUAGUUCAUCAACUUCUCUUGCCAUUGUUCUUUAGUUGGUAUUUCUCCAGUAUAUCAGUAUAAAUGGCUGGAGGUUACCUGGCAGCUCCUCCCAGGAUUGAUUCAAAGUUUUUUUUUUUUCUUUUUCUGCUAUCCUAGACUAGUGACUUUCAGACUUUUCACCCUCAAGGAAUACUUUCCACCUAAGCUUGUCCACCAUGGAAAUAUUGUGUGUCUGCUAUUGUCAGAGAAUUUUGGGGUUCUCUUGCUCUCUCUGUUUAUAUGGGUUGCUGGUUUAGGAUUGCUGGCCCUCACUGGUGCCUGUGCAAACUUCAAAGGUUGUCUAGAACAAGUCCAACAACACUCCUUUUCCACAACACGUCACUGGAAAUGGAUGGCAAUGGCAGACAAGUCAUUCUUGGAAAAUGUAUAGUUGUUGUUGAUAGAACUGAUCAGGGAAGUUGCAAAACACCAAUACCACCACAAAAAAACCCAAUGCACACAUUUCCAGCUUUUCUAAACUCUGGAGUUGAUUGCCCAGCUUCAAAUAGGCUGCCUCAUUCCAGGUACAUAAAGAUUCACUAGUGAUUUCCCUUCUCUUUGGUGCCUGUCUUUUGAAGAGAUCGCUUCAAGCAAAGAGCCCUCAUUAACUGUGCAGUAUGUACAGAAAGUUCUGCUGAAAGGGCUAACAUUCCUUACAGAUCUGAAGUAAUUUUUACCACUACAGAAGCUGUAAAAGAGAGGAGGAAAAUAAUAAUAAUAAAGCUCUUUCAUUUUUAGAUCUACUCAUGAGCAACGAGUGCCUCCAGAAAGUUGGUGUGUAUGUGUGUUUUAACGAUUUACACCCACCGUGUCAAGCCAGUCCUAUCACAUUUUUCUUCUGGCUCCAGGAUGGGGGAACCUAUUUCAGUUAGUGGGCUGUCUGGGAUAAGCUUUUUUGAGGUGAUGGGCUCACAUGCUGGUAGCUGGUGGUGCCAGAGGCAAAACUGAUGUAGAUGUUGCCUUUGUACACUAGGGGGUAAUCCUAUGGCAAGAUCUGCAGGGGUGAGCUGCUUAGGAUCCAAUGGAUCUCUGCUCCAUCCCCAGCUUGGCUCAGCUAAAGAUUCCCUGGUGUAACUUGCUCAUUCCAGCCGGUGCAAAUCCGCCCCCCCAGUGAGUGUUCUUGUUGGAGCGUUGUGGGUAUCAAGGAGUUAACACUGUGCUAAGUGGAAAUGCUGACUCAGUGAUGAGUGAGCAUCAUGAGAUAUAGGGAGUUGCCUGAUUGGUCUAUAGCCAGUUAGUAUAAAGAGGUAUGCCUCACUUCCCCUACACUGGCUUCUCCUCUGUAUGCAAAUCCCAGUUGUGUAUGCUGAUUCCUAGAUGUAAGAAGACUGCUUUAUGAUGAUGCAAGGCUGCAACUGGAAUAAAGUCCUGCUUAAAAUACAGUUGACUCCUCAGUGCUUCAUGUGGGGCUUCCAUGCAUUGCAACAGUUCUGAGGGCAGGACCAGAGAGCGGGACACAGGCUGUAUCCUAAGCCCAUUCAGGUUGGUUGCAUGACCUGGCAACCUGGCCAGAAGGAGGAAAACAAGCAUUUCAAAGACCUGUUUGGACCUGAUGUAACUUCACGCCAGCUUAAUUUUCCAAUUGCUUACUUUAUGCCAGCCUCAUAUGUAUAGGAUUGCUCCCUAGGCUAGUUUCUACGAGUAAGAGUUAUUAUCAGAGUUCAAGGACAUGGUCCAGCCAGACAAAAACACUCAGUUCUUGCUCUUAUGUUAUUUUAAGACCUCCUGUACCAUUCAUGUCUGAUUUCAAUAAGCUUGAGAUGAAACCCUUAGUAUCGCUACUAUAGCGUUUCACCAAACCUUCAAAUUCUGAAAGUGGACAUGUUGCUGCUUAUCAAAUAUCAAAGUCCACGUUAGCGAUGGCACAUGUAUAUCUUCUAGUAACCAUUAACGUUUAUCCUCCAGUAUGAGAACAUUAUCUACAUAAAAACAAUAUAAAUAAUACAUCCCCUUAGUCCUCUGCCCUCUUAGGAAGCCAAGACUGGUAUAAGAGGGCUUUGAAUGAAAAGUUGGAAGUGACCUUACAGUGACAGAAGUGGUGAAUGAGGAUUCUGUGAUACGAUAGUUGCAAGCAUGAAAAGCAUAGCCAUGUGAUUCUACCGUCAUCAGCACCAGAUGAGAAACUAAACAUUAGUUAGAAGUUAGAAGUUAGACUGCAAGGAGGGGGUGGGGAUGGUGACGAUCAUUUCCUUGGGGUCCUACAAAGAGUGAAAAGCUUUUAUAUGAGCCUAAGAACAAGCUUUCCUCCCUAAGUUUUAAUGAGAUGGUUUUCUUUUAAGAGCAGACUCUGCUGCUUGCAUUUAAAUGUGAGACCUGCUACUGCAUUAGCCUGGAAAAUUGAUUGGUAGCAUUGAGAUGAAAAACUCCCUAAAAAUCUAAUACUAUGCAAGAGGGCUUGAUUAGUUUGUGCACGACCAUCUACAACAAACACAGAAGAUACGAUCAUAAAUUAUGAAUGCACCAAAUCCACCCAACCGCUCUACAAUUACACAUAAUAAUCUCAUUUUUGUGCAAGCCACUAUGUUUUAAAAAUGAAUCUCUUAUUCCCUUCACUCCCCACCACUAAAUUUUGCAGGAGCAGUGUGUGGAUUCAGUUUGUUUGCCCAACGGAAAUUCCAUUUAGGGCUGAGGCUUGAUGGAUGUGGAAGGAUCAAUAGACAAACAGUACCACGUAAAUCAGCAAAAGCAACAGAGACUUGUGGCACCUUAAAAACUGACAAAUUUAUUACAGCCUAAGCUUUUGUGGACUCAGGCCCACUUCAUCCAACGCUCAAAGUGACGGCGUCGUUGGCAGGUGUAUAAAGGAUACAGUUGUAAGGUUGGAGUGAUAAAAAUCCUUUGUCUUGAUUCAGCCCACUAGUGAUAAUCUUGAUAAUCUUGAUCGAUUAUUAUACAUCUGUUUCAUGUUAUAAUUUUUCUUUGUAGUUCCUUUCUUCCAGUAUGGGCACCUUAAAGUCAGUUUCAGAGUAUCUUAUUAUAUAACUGCAUUGUAUUAGGGGAAGUUGCUUGUGAAAAUACGUAUAGACAAAAUUUCAUACAAAAAAAAUGUGUGCAUGAGGUGAAAUGCACCUGAAGAUUUGUACAAAUUUUCAUUUGGACAUGUUUUUUUAAAACAAAAAGAACUUGAUGUGGAAAUGGAGAGAACCGUACUCAGGAGUGGAAAAAUGAGAAACUGGGAGAAGCCGAAAGAGUUUCAUUUGUCCAUCCCUACUUGAUGAAUCUUUGGUGUGAUCCAUUGAGAGAGUACUGUGGCAUUACACAGUUUAGGUUUGGCUUGUUAUAUGCAUCUGACCUGUGAUGUAGUUUGUGAGCAACUUGUUUCUCUAUGGAUUAAAGAUACUAUUUAUUCAAGACUGAGAAGGUGAUCAGGCUUUAAAAACCCUUUAACAUUAGCAGAAUGGUAGAUUAAGGUGGUGGUGAUCUGUAUUAUUUAUGGCCAUUCAGAGGGUUCAUAAAUCUUGAUGUACCUGGCACUUGCUAUAAAAAUUGGCAUACAUGUAAACAGACACGGAUUAUUUGCCUGCCACAAAGUCCUGAGCAAAGUCAUCAGAAACUCCACAGAUGCUGGUGCAUUGCCAUUUAUAUAUAGCUCCCUUUUCUAUCUGAAAGCACCCAGCACAGAAUACAAUAUAAAACAGUGCCAGUAGCUGACAGUACAAAUAAAGAAAGAAAUCGAAAAAUAAAAGUGUAUAACUCUGAAUAAGUAUUAUUGAAGGACCUCAUUUUUUUUAAAAAAAUAAUGUUUAUUAAAUUUUAAGGAGUUACAAAAAGAAAAAAUUAAAGAACAGCAUAUUAAAGAAAUACAAAACACCACAUCACAAUAAUAAAAAAAGAAAAAAGAAAAGAAAAAAAGAAAAAGAAAAAGAAAAAAGAAAAAUACAAUGAAUCUUCCCAUAACUUAUCUUUCAUUUGCUUAUUUCCUUGACCUCCUCACACCUCCCUUUUUGUAUUCUAGUUCAAUUAGCUAUUUCAGCAAAUCCUUUCCAUCUUUUCCAGUUUUUGUCCUCUAUUUUAUCUUAAUAUAAUGUAACUUUACUUUCCCUCCCUCACCAUUUAGCAAUCUAUUUUUUCUUAAUCCUUUAUAGCAUUUCUGCUAAAACCGCAUUAUUUCAUUCCAACAUCCUUCUAACAUUCCUUAAUUUUACAAUGUUUCUGUAAAUAAACUUUAAAUUUCUUCCAAUCUUCUUCCACCAACUCUUCUCCCUGGUCUCAGAUUCUGCCAGUCAUUUCCGCCAGUUCCAUGUAGUCGAUCACCUUCAUCUGCCAUUCUUCCCGGGUGGGUAGAUCUUGUGUCUUCCAAUACUUCAUGAUGAGUAUUCUUGCUGCUGUUGUGGCAUACAUAAAAAAAGUUCUAUCCUUUUUUGGCACCAAUUGGCUGACCAUGCCCAGGAGAAAGGCCUCUGGUUUCUUCAGAAAGGUAUAUUUAAAUACCUUUUUCAUUUCAUUAUAAAUCAUCUCCCAGAAUGUCUUAAUCCUUGGGCACGUCCACCAAAGGUGAAAAAAUGUGCCUUCAGUCUCUUUACAUUUCCAACAUUUAUUAUCGGGCAAGUGGUAUAUUUUUGCAAGCUUGACUGGUGUCAUGUACCACCUAUAAAUCAUUUUCAUUAUAUUCUCUCUUAGGGCAUUACAUGCCGUAAACUUCAUACCUGUGGUCCAUAACUGUUCCCAGUCAGCCAUCAUAAUAUUAUGUCCUACAUCUUGUGCCCAUUUAAUCAUAGUUGAUUUCACCGUUUCAUCCUGAGUAUUCCAUUUCAACAGCAAGUUAUACAUUCUUGACAAGUUCUUAGUUUUGGGAUCUAACAGUUCUGUUUCCAGUUUUGAUUUUUCCACCUGGAAGCCAAUUUUUUUUAUCCAAAUUGUACGCCUCCAUUAUUUGGUAAUAAUGGAGCCAAUCUCGCACUCUAUUUUUUAGUUUUUCAAAACUCUGCAAUUUUAAUCUGUCUCCCUCUUGUUCCAAAAUUUCCCAAUAUUUCGGCCAAUUGGCCUCCAUAUUGAGCUUUUUCUAAGCCUUCGCUUCCAUUGGUGACAGCCACCUUGGGGUUUUAUUUUCAAACAAGUCCUUAUAUCUUAUCCAGACAUUAAACAGUGCUUUUCUGACAAUAUGGUUUUUAAACGCUUUAUGUGCUUUAAUCUUAUCAUACCACAAAUAUGCAUGCCACCCAAAUACGUUGUUAAAACCUUCUAGGUCCAACACGUCAGUAUUUUCAAGAAGCAGCCAUUCUCUCAGCCAGCAAAACGCGGCCGAUUCAUAAUAAAGUUUAAGGUCUGGCAGGGCAAAUCCACCUCUUUCUUUAGCAUCGGUUAAUAUCUUAAAUUUUAUUCGAGGCUUCUUGCCCUGCCAGACAAAUCUAGAAAUAUCUCUCUGCCACUUCUUGAAACAAUCCAUUUUAUCCAAAAUUUGCGAUGUUUGGAACAGAAACAGCAUCCUUGGCAGUACAUUCAUUUUUAUCGCAGCAAUUCGGCCAAGCAAUGAUAACUUCAGAUUUGACCAUAUUUCUAAAUCCCUUUUCACUUCCAACCAGCAUUUUUCAUAGUUAUCUUUAAAUAAAUUCACAUUUUUGGCAGUCAUAUUGACCCCUAGGUAUUUCACUUUCUUGACCAAUGUUAAUCCUGUCUCCUUCUGAAACCUCUCUCUUUCAAUCUCUGUUAGAUUUUUCUCUAGAACCUUAGUUUUCAUCUUAUUCAGCUUAAAACCCGCAACCUGACCAAAUUCUUGAAUCAGUUCCAAUACUCUUUUGGUACUAGAUUCUGGCUCCUGUAAUGUCAGUACCAAAUCAUCGGCAAAUGCUUUCAAUUUGUACUGUUUAGCUCUGACUUGUAUACCUUUAACCAUUUGGUCCCUUCUAAUUAUGUUUAAGAGAACCUCCAAGACGGAUAUAAAAAGCAAUGGGGAGAUUGGGCAGCCUUGUCGUGUUCCUUUCUCUAUCUUAAAUUCUUCCGUCACUACAUUAUUUACAGUUAAUUUAGCCUUUUGUUCUGAAUAAAUUGCACCUAUACCAUUUCCAAAACCUUGGCCAAUCCCCAUCCCCUGUAAAUUCUUCAUCAUGAAACUCCAGGAAAUAUUGUCAAAGGCUUUCUCCGCGUCCACAAAUAUCAAAACUGCUUUAGUGUUAAUAUUCACUUGUAGUUUUUCUAAAAUAUUAAUUAUAUUCCUCGUAUUGUCAGACAAGUGUCUGCCCGGGAGAAAGCCCAUUUGAUCUUUAUGAAUUUUUUCUACUAGUACCUUUUUUAAUCUUUUAGCCAAAAUGUCUGCAAAGAUUUUAUAAUCCACAUUAAGCAAAGAUAUGGGGCGGUAAUUCUUAAGCUGUGUCUUCUUGGACUCUGUUUUCGGUAUAAGUGUGAUGUAUGCUUCCUUCCACGACUCUGGUGCCCUUUUCCCUUCCAAUAUUUCAUUACAAACUUCUUUUAAUGGCUGUACUAGCCAUUCUUUCAGAGAUCUAUAAUAUCUUGAAGUCAAACCGUCCGGUCCUGGAGAUUUACCCAAUUGCAUAUUCUGGAUGGCCCCUUCUACCUCCUGCUCCGUUAUUUUGUUGUUCAACAUUAGUUUGUUUUCUUGAGAGAUUUUUUGUAGUCCCUUUGUUUUCAAAAAUCGGUCAAUGUCCAUUUCUUUCUGUGUCUCCUGUGUAUAUAAUUGUUUAAAGUACCUCUGAAAACACUUUCUGAUCUCCACUGGAUUCUGUAUAUUUUUCCCUUCCACUUCCAAAUUUGUAAUGGUAUUAAGUUUUUGUCUUUUUUCAUUUGCCAAGCCAGCAGUUUCCCACAUUUAUUUGCCGAUUCAAAUGUCUUUUGUCUCAUCUGUUUAAUUUUCCAUUCUAUUUCCUGGUUCAUCAUUUUCAUAUAUUGUACUUGAUAUAACUUUAUCUCUUUCAAGAUCUCCUGCGACUUUGGUUUCACUCUCAAUUUUUUCUCUCCUUCCUUUAUUUUCUCCAAAAUCUUAUCUUUUUUCUCAUUUUGAACUCUCUUCUUAAUUGCAUUCUGUUGUAUCAAAAAUCCUCUCAUAACCGCUUUACUUGCGUCCCAGAUUACUCUUUUUUUGGUAGUGGUAUUCAUAUUAAUCUCAAAAUAAUCUCUCAAUGUUUUUUGGGCCUUCUUAGUCACUUCUUUGUUCCUAAACAAAGUGUCAUUCAUCCUCCAUCUAAAGGAACCAGUUGGUAUUAGUUUCAUUUCCAUCUUCACAGCAUUAUGAUCGGAGUAAGUUUUAGGGCAAAUUUCCACUUUUCUAAUCUUCGGAGCCAACCCUCUAGUUACCCAAAUUUGGUCAAUUCUUGUCCAUGUCAUUUUGGCCUCAGAGAAGAAAGUUCCCUCUCUUCCCAAAGGGUUCUUCAUUCUCCAAAUGUCAACUAAAUCCAUAUUGUCAGUCAUAUCAAAAAAAGUUUUUGGUAGUCUACCAUCCUUGGUAACUACCUGUCUCAAUGCCUUGUCCAUAUUUGUAGACAUCACUCCAUUCAUGUCCCCCAUCAAAAUCAUAUUGUAAUCCAUAUAGUCCAUCAGAGUCUCGUGUAACUUCUUGUAGAACUCUGAUUUUCCCUCAUUUGGUGCAUAAAUACCUACUAUCAAAAAUUUCUCUCCUUGCGAUUGAAUUUCAAUUGCAACAAAUCUUCCUUGGUCAUCUUUAAAUAUAUAUUGAAGGACCUCAAAUCGCAGCAUCAUCUCUCCCAAACUGAAAAUCAGUGUCUAUAAGCACAAAAUAUGUGACUUCAAAAACAUUCCUCCUUCGGAUCAAGUGUAGUGGCUUCUGUACAUGAAGUAUCAGAAUGUAGAAACAAUGUGAAUAGUGUGGUCUUUGACCACUAGACUCUCCCAGAGCAGCUUUAAUCUUUAAAAGCUUUUCUUUGUAAUGAUGAAUGAUAGACACUCACUCCUGUCAAACUCUUAGGUUUUUCUAGGGAGUGUCAGGAAACCGGUGGAUGCCCCAGAUAUAAUAUUCUUUGGACUGUCGUUCAGAGGUGAAAACUGAGCACGGCACUUGAUUCUAUUUCUCAUAUCUACAAAGAGGGUGACAUUUCCAUGUCUAACAGGGGCAAGAGCAUGACAGAAACGUUGAUACCAAUCAAGCAUUUGUUUGCACGCAACUAUUAUGCCGGAUUGUAUGGUUAUAGGACAUCUGUUAGUGUGCACUGUCAUAAAAGAGGCUGAAUGAUCAAUAUACAAUUUUCACAGAGGGCCUCUUUAUAAUUCUAUGUAAUUAGGGGCAGAUGCAUCUUCUUUAAAUGCUGACAACAGUUUGCCAUUUUUAUAUUAUUCUGUGAAACAUAAAUAAACGACGGACUUUAAUUCAAGGAUUAGGGAAUCUAGUAAUAAUUAAUAAUUAUAAUACUAAUAAUUUGGGGGCAGGCAGGAGGGGUAUAUGUAGGGAAGCCUCAUAGACAAGUCAUAAUCCUAAUGGAUGUAAUUGGAGCAUUCCUUUGCAUAGCAGAAUUGGUAAACAAAUAGGAGUCGAUGGCAGAGAAUAGUGCUGCAUUGUGCAGGGGGUAAGACUGAAUACUAAAGCAGAGCUCUGAUAUAGCUUCAACAACAGUGAACCUUAGACUGAGCCCUAUAUUUGAGCAGCAGUUCAGCUGUCACCUUAUUCUCCUGUGCGAAUGAACGGAGCUUUCUCAGUUUCUGUCCCACCUCCUUCCAUGCUAAGUGAGACAUUUUGUACUGUCUCAGUCUGAUGCUCAAAUAAAUGGAAAGAGAGGACUGGAGGCAAUUGUUUUGCAACAUUCAUGGGGGGACCCAAUUUUCCUUUGGUGGCAGCUGAAGGAUGGGACUGCUGGGCCAAACACCACAUAUCCAUAGCCACUGAACUCUCAGAAAGGGUCAGAGGCUCAGCUAAUGUUUACAAUGGAUUUGUGGAAUGUCAGAUAGGCUGGUAAUUCCCUGGAAGAUGAAUUGCGACUAGUCGGUGCUGUCUCAGCAUGCAAUACUAGCAUGGUUCUUUAAUUUAAAAAAAUAGUAUUUUGGAAUAUUGCUGGCCUUUGUAAUAACUAGAUUGACCUUAGCUGUAGAAAAAUCUACUUCCAGUUUGACUUAAGUUAUCUGGUAAAGAAUGUGAUCGGGCAAAGAAGAGAUGGAGGCACUUUUUUACUGUAGGCUCUAAUUCCUUUUGGAAGGGAAAAACAAUAAAGAAUGCUCUCUCUCUCUCUCUCUCUCUCUCUCUUAGCUCUAAGGCUUAAUUCAUAGAAAUAGUUGAUGAAGUGUGUAUUCCUUAACUGUGCCUCUUGAGAAUGCAAGUGGAAGGCUGCAUGGCUGAACACUCCUUUGUAAAAAAGAAAAGCCCACAAUCCGUGCAUAUAGACAACUAGAUGUAACGGAAAAAGUACACCCUAGCUUUCUUCCUGUUGUGCUGAUUUGCUUAUGAAUGGAUUUCCCCCACUGAGAAGCACCCGAUGAUAUGGCACCCACCUCAAUACCUGUUGCCUUAGUCCAUGAAGAGUAUUAUCUGCUGUUUGUGUGAAUUAGGUUUUCAAUUUCGGUUUCUCUCAGUUUCUCAUUUCCCCUGGCUUAGGUUCAGCUCUCAACAUUUCCACAUUGUUCCUUUUUUAAGUCCUUGUGAAUAUCCACCAGGAUUUUAGUGCGAAUUUCUCCAAAUUGUGUGCAGUUUUGCUCAUACAUGCAGAAUUGGUGUAAUAGGAUUCCAGACAGAAACAGGACAAAGCUCUGGCAGCAACAUUUUGCAUUAGCUGCAACUACUGGGACACCAAGGGUAGCCCCACAAAGAGUUCAUUGCCGUAUUCUAAUCUUGAAGUUACAAUGGCAUGGAUCACUUUGGCAAGGAUAUCUCAGUCUAGGAACAAAAUCUCAAGCGGAAGGCUGGGAGAGAGACUUGCCUGAGAUGUUGGGGGGCUGCUGUUAGACUUUACAUUACUGAUAGGAUGGACUAAUCCCCAAAUCAAUAAUAGAAAAGGGAAAGGAAUAGGAAUAGUACCACUCCAUUCUGCCUUGGUCACACACCUGGAAUACUGUGUCCAAUUCUCGGCACCGCAAUUUAAGAAGGAUGUCAACAAGCUGGAAUGUGUGCAGAGGAAGGCAAACAAGAUAAUCAAGGGACUGGAAACUCAGCCUUAUGAGGAGUGCUUGAAGGAGCUGGGUGUGUUUAGCCUGGAAAAGAGGAAACUGAGCGGACAUAUGAUAGCCAUCUUCAAAUAUCUUAAGGACUGUAUACAUGCUUGUUUUCUCCUGCUCUGGAGGGUAGGACUCGAAACAAUGGCUUCAAGUUACAAGAAAGGAGAUUCUGACUAAACAUUCGAAAAAACUUUCUGACAGUAAGAGCUGUUUGACAGUGGAAUAGACUCCCUCAGGAGGUUGUAGACUUUCCUUCCUUGGAGGUUUUUAAGCAGAGGUUGGAUGGCCAUCUGUCAUGGACGCUUUAGCUGAGAUUCCUGCAUUGCAGGGGGUUGGACUAGAUGACCCUUGGGUUCCUUCUGACUCUAUGAUUACAUCACCAAAUUUUUCUACACAUCUUUGGCUAUUCUUCUUGACAAAGCUGGCCAGCUGAGCUUUUUCUCACACCUUCUCUAGACUGCUGCAUUUGGUAUGUUUGCUCCAAUUCCCAGAAAAGAAGAGGGGUUUUGAUGUGCCAAGAAGCAUAUGUCAUGAGCUGCGCAUCUAGCUCUCUCUUGUGAACCAUAACAGAGAACGCACCAGCAUCUAUAAUGGUAGCGCUGAGGUUGUGGGAGAGGUGUUUAUCUUGGUUGGUGCAUCUACUGAAAAACUCUCUGAGCAAGCAAGUUCGCCUGUAGACUUGUGUAUCUGCUGCUGGUGGUGGAAAAGAAAUCACACAUUUCCCCCUCACUGCUCUGCUUAUGUGUUAACUCGUGUCCCAUAAUCUCCUUUAAAAGUUACAAUGCCUCCAGUAUUUCUACAAAAAAAUAAUCUAGUGAUACAUUGGCUGCAUGAAGCGUUCCAAUGAAGAAUGCUUUAUCUGCCUUUCUAUUGGAGCCAGGCUGAUUCUUGUUAUAGAUAGUGCAUUAUUUUAGACAUUUUAUGUAUUUUCCUGGCUGCAAAGUUACCUUGGUUGCUGCAUUUCCCACAUGCUAAUAAGCACUGUGAAAACCAAACAUUCCUUCCAACACUUCAUGCCUUAUCCAGCCUCCUAUGUUUUCUUCUUCUAACACUUUUUGCCUUCUGGCGUGUUUCAUUUUGGGACGUCCCCCCCCCCUUUCUCUCUGGUAUCCCUGAAAUUCUGUCCAUGGCCACCGGUUUAUUUUGUUUUCUUUUUGGCAGUUUGUUACUCCAGAAGCUUCUGAAAAUUUCCCCCCUCUCCAAGGUGAGCUCAGGAUAUUUCAACCAUAUUUUCUUAAGCACAGCAUCCCUGAUACCAACCAACUACAAUCUGGCCUCUAAUCAUAUACUCUUGUCAGCUCUCUAUAAUUGUAAGUCUGACUCAGCUCCUUGAGGUGAGUCACAAACUCCAACUCUGCUUUCAACUUUCUCCUAUGAAAGUUAUACCUUUCAGAAGUCUUAUUUCUUUCUGGAAUGCAGGAUUAUAAACUUUUUUGCCUUCGUUUUUCGGUGGAAUCACUACGCUGCAGCCCCCUCCCCCUUCCUGAAAACUGCAGAUUGUUAGAUACAGUGAAGGCCUCCUGUUCUGCAAUAUUAAAAAACUAGAUAUCCAGGGCAGGCCCACCCUUGGAGCAAGGUGAGGCAACUACAUCAGGCAGCAGGAUCAACAGAGACAGCAGGUGUGGCCUCCGAAGAAUGGAGCACCCACUGCUGCUGUAGUGUGCUCCUUAGGGGCUAGAUCUGCCUCCUCCUUGGUGGUAUGGGAUGCGGGUGGCGCUGUGGUCUAAACCACUGAGCCUCUUGGGCUUGCCAAUCAGAAGGUUGGUGCUUUGAAUCCCUGUGACAGGGUGAGCUCCCAUUGCUCUGUGCCAGCUCCUGCCAACCUAGCAGUUCGAAAGCAAACCAGUGCAAGUAGAUAAAUAGGUACCACUGUGGUGGGUAGGUAAACAGCGUUUCCGUGUGCUCUGGUUUCCGUCACAGUGUUCCAUUGUGCCAGAAGUGGUUUAGUCAUGCUGGCCACAUGACCCGGAAAGCUGUCUGUGGACAAACGCCGGCUCCCUCGGCCUGAAAGCAAGAUGAGCGCCGCUACUGAAUAGUUGCCUUUGACUGGACUUAAGCCUCCAGGGGUCCUUUACCUUUACCUUUUUACCUUUACCCUCCUCGGCGGUCCCCCGUGGCCACUUCAACAGUGGCAUCUUGGUGAACAGGAGGUGCUGCCAGUCUCCUCCCACCCUUGUUCCCAACGUAGAUCUUUAUUCCUCACUCCUUUACUGGUGUGCAUGUGUGGCAUUUUGCGGUUCGCCUCGGGUGCCAAAAUAUAUUGGGCCGGCCGUGUGGAUAUCUUUUGUGAGACUUAUGUCCCUGCACUUCUUCCAGUCAGCAUCUGGAGUAUGAAGGGUUGUAUAAAUUGCUUGCACAGCUGUACUACUACGGGAUUAACGGCAGAGCAUUCUGCACGAACUCUAAGGGGCUCCAUUUCUUCAAAUCAGCUCUCUUGUCAGCUGAGUACUGGUUACCAUGCUUUGAAAUAUAGUGUGCAAAAGAUCCCCAAAGGGGAGGGGGAAUGUAUUCAGUUAAAAGGGUUUGUGUGUGCGUGUUAGAGCGACUAACGUGCACCUAAAAACAAGCUGACACCAACCACUCCUCCAUAUUAACAAAUUCCCAGUUCCCCCGGGGAAUCCCAAGUAGAUUCAUCAUUGUCAGGCCGGAUGUAAGAUGUUUUGGCACCUGAGGCAGAAAAUCCAAGGGGUACCUCUUUACGAAGGAGAAUAAAUAACUGUGACAAUUUUCUGCCUUUUGAGCUGUCAAACAAAGGAAUAUAUAUAGAUCUCAACUGUGUGUGUUUGUGUAGGGCCAGAAAUCAAGGGCCAAGGGCCCAGAUUGCCCACUGCGAGAGCCACUUUAAUAAGCUGGAGUGAAGAAAUAGGCCCACGGAGGGAGGAAAGGCAUAAGGUGUAAAAAAAGAAAGAAAAGUGAAUUCCGUGUUAGGAGUUACUGGGAAAGGGACUGAAAACAAAACUGCCAGUAUAAUUAUAUUUCAUGUGUGGGGCUCCUUUGAGAUGAAUGGCUCAAUAUAAAUUUAGCACAAAAAAGGGAUAAAUUUCUGGUUGUCCCAACUCAAAAGGGAUAUUCAGUUGGGAAAGGUUCAAGGGGUAGGGGCAACUCUCCACUGGGGAAAAGUUACAUUUGGGGCUUUAGAAGAAAGACGGCUGAGGAGGAACAUUCAAGAAGCUGCUGCAAAAUAUUUUAAGUGAUCGAGCCUUUUUUAAAAUCAAGAGUGAGAGCAGGCAUCAAACAAAGCUCUUUACAUCUGAACAAAAUGGUGACGAGCUGCUGCUUCACUGAGAAUUGUCAUUAUAAUUUAUUUAUUUAUUUGGAGUAAUAAUUAUUAGAAAGAUAUACCAAAACUGGAUCAGCACAUUGCACAAAAAGGAGAAACGAAACAAAACAAAACACCUUCCACAGAUGAAAAGGGGCUCUCAUUUUCAUCACACUGAGCAGCCGUGCUGUGAAGAAUCUUUAAACAAUAAUAAAAUGGAACUGGAAUUGUUUGAGGCUGCUAAAAAUGGAGCCACAGUGAGAGAAAGUCUGAAAAAGAUAUUGAACGCAGAGAAUAUAGAACGUGUCAAAUCCCUCACUUAGGAGGCAUAAAGACAUUUAAUAUUAAAAUACAUGUAUCACAGUAUUGAUCUAUUAUAGACAUUUGUGCCUUUAAAUAAAGAUUAAAAGGCUUUGUUGGCAUAGUUUAAAAGUUCUCUUUUUACGACAUCCCCUCCUCUCUGUGCCAGUGGAAAUUCCUUUUUUUUUAAAAAAAAGGUCCCGUGCCAAAAAUUGGCUGCUUGAGGUGGCCAGCACACUCUGCCUCAUGGUACUGCUUUGAUUCACUUGAAACACUCUUAAAGCGUUAUUUGAAUUGAAACAAUUUCACAGAAAACAGGGUGGUUUUAGACCCAGUUGAUCAAUCAUUGGUCCUCUUCCAUCCUUCCCCUGGAAUACAUUGUUUUAGGGGCUUACUGGUGGAAAUUCUUUUAUAAUUAUCUUCAAACAAAUUUAAAUUUUUCAUUGUAAUCUCUAGCCCCCAAAUACUUAGCUUUUUUCACUACUUCCAAUCCUGUUCUAUCCCCCAAUUCCUCCCCCCCCCCGAUUCUGUAGAUUUUUUUUACCAUGAGUUUUGUUUUUAGUCUGUUGAGUUUAAACCCAGAGACCUUGCCACACUCUGUUAUGGUUUCUUGGUCAUCUCAGAGCUAUCUCUGUGGAGUUUGGGUAGAAUCUACUGAUCCUGGAUAUGUACAGUCUGCCUUGCCUUUUCUAGGCGCAUCUGUGGUUUCUGUAUCUUUUGAACAUCUCAUUCUUAUGAUGGUUUCAUGAAAAUGCAUUUUUGUGCAAAUGUACACUUAAGAAGAAGAGUUAAGGAAGCCACAGACAGCACAAACAAUAGCCUAAAGCAAAAUCUAUUCGAAAGUAAUAGAUGUGAAGCUAACGUGAAGCUGUCUUAUUGUUGGUUUGCUUUUUACUGUUGUGUGUGUGUGUGUGUGUGUGUGUGUGUGUGUGUAUUUGGAUUGUUUUGUUGGUUUUCCCCAGCUGCUUCAAGCAUCUGGAGUGCUGGCAUCAGCACCUAGUAUAAUAAAGAAAUAAAUAAUACAUAGAAUUACAGCAAGGUCAUGAGCUUAGACUACUUUGAGUUCCAGUGACAAAUACCUGUUUCUGGAGACUUCCGGGUUAGCGCCUCCGGCAAUGGCGGAUUUCCUCUGACCGGGAGGAAUCCGCUUCGUGGAAAUCAGGGUCUGGACUGCCACGGCGAGGCGGAGACCCAUCAAAAACCACAGGCGGGAGAAGCCUGUGGACGUGGGAUUCGGCUGGCACCUUUUGCGCCUCCCCUACUCGCGGGGAAACCCGGUUUCGGGGAUCCGGAGCGACGUGGGGUGAGCGGCGCGGUGCUUUGAAUCGAUUGCUUUUUUCACGAAGUGAAGCCGCAUUGCUGUUGCCGGAGAGCGCUGACUUUUUCCUGUGGACAAUUGGACUUUAAACAACUACCUGUGAGUAGAACGGAAAAUUGGACUACUAAACAUCUUUAAUUUGGCACCGAUGCGGGAAGGUUCCAAACAGGAAGUCCGCCUUCCGCUUUUGUAAAUAGAUUGAAGCAAAGACAUUGCAAGCUAAAGUCUGGAAAGUCUUUUGUAAAGGAUUAAAUCUCCAUCGGCUAAAAUUACUAAACCCCCCUUGGAAGCAGGAGAAGAGGGGGAAGUUUAGAUUGUUUAAGCCUGCAGGAGAGAGAGUGAAGAAAGAUAAAUUACCACCGUUUUGAACCUGGGAACGGGCUGCCAGGGAGCGACGUAUUGGGAAAGUUCAUUGACUGUGAAUAAAACGUAUGUUGACAGAUAGUUAAACAAGAGAAACAUAUUGAUUCCAAUGUUUCCUUUUGCACUUGAAAGGAGCAAAAUAUCUGAAAAUCGAAAUUAACUUUGUUAACUUUGUUGCUGGACCUGCUUUUAAAAAGACGGAUACAAAUAGAAAUUGUUUCCCCUAGAUGGAGCUCUUGAAACUGUUGUAGGAGUGGAUCUGGGGAAUUCUCCAGCUGUAGAGAUUAAAGCCGUGAGAAUUAGACAUUGACCUUGGACAAGAAUGUGGACAGAAGAAGCCUUAGUGAUUGCUUUUUGCAAAACAAAUGCUUCAUUGGAACAGCUUCAUGAGAAGAUGGAUGCGAUGACUACUAGCACUGACAAUUUUGGACAAAAAAGGAUUGAUUUGGGACAAAAAGUGAAUACUUAUAAAGAAACUACUCAGGAACCGACCCAGGAAUCUGCUUUGACAUGGCAAGCUGUGGAGAAGACAAAGGAGGAGGUUGUUGUUGAACCUCAAGUAAUACAAGUGGAGAGAGCCUCGGCCUUGUAUGAGCAUAAGCUGUUGCUUUUGAAGACCGAAUCUGGAGAAAGCCAGAUUUGGAGAGAUGGAGUCCCGCUUGGAUUGGAGAAGGAAAGUUGGAAAGAUCCCUUCAUGCAGGGAUGUUCUGGCCUUUGGGAUCUGUUUUUGGGCCGGGGGAGAUUGGAGUGGCGAGGGCCUUUAACUUUGGAGGGACUUUGAAACAUGCUUUGAAUUAUUUUUUGGAUUUUGGCCCUGUCUAUGGAGAAUAGGCUGACCUGUCGAGAAGGGAUAAAGACAUUGUUAGGUUGGAGUCUUCCCGAGACCUACUCCUCAGUGACAAAGGAAGGAAAUUAAGAACAAGAUCAGCAGAAGACAAAGUAAAGUGUAGGUAUAAAUAUGAAGAAGAUCUGCAGAAGGGACAUGGAAAAGAGUUAAGAGCCUCGGACAGGAGAUCACCAGGUUGAUGGACUAGAUGGAAUGGAUAGAAAAGACUGACAGAACCCGAGACCAGGGUGAAGAGAUGGUGGAUGAAGAUUGGAAGAAAGUUUUAAAAAAUUUAUUUAGAGAAAUAUUGAAAAAUUUAUGAGUGUUAGAAAAAUGUUGGAAUGAAACUAUAUGGCUUUAGUAGAAAUGUUAUAAGGAGUUAUGUACAAAUAAGUUUUAAGUUUUAGGGUUUUUUAUGGUAAGAUAAAGUUAAAAUAAAUUGAGACAAUUAAAUGACAGAAAAUAGUGAAAGAUGGAAAGGAUUUGCUGAAAUAAUGAAUAACUAGAAUACAAAAAAGGGAGGUGUGAGGAGGUCGAUGAAACAAGUUAAUGAAAGACAAAGAUAUAGAAAUAUUGGAUCUAUUUUUAACUUUUUUGCUUUUGUUUUUGGUCUUGAUGUAUUGUGUGUUUUGUUCUUUUCUUUUUCUUUUUCUUUCCUUUUUUUAUAUGUAUUGAUUUGUAUUGUUUAAUCUCUUUUUCUCUUUUUUUUACACUUUUUUCUGUAAUUUUAAACUUUCGAUAAAUAUCAUUUAAAACAAACAAACAAAUACCUGUUUCUGCAACUGUUCUAAACAACAGAACUUCCUCCCAGAACCUUUGUUUGAUUUCUAGGUAAUCCCAGACAUUCCCUCUGGCUCAUCAGCCAAAUAGCUUUGAAGGCUUUUCCUUCUUCACUUCAGUGAAGAAAUAAUGCGGAAUCGAAUUGAACGGAAAACAAUUUGAAUUAAUUUCCAUUCAUCUGUGGGUCUAGUAGCUAGGACCUUGAUAGCGCUACACCUAUUACGAUGAGAAACAACUUCUUCUAAUAGUAUGUCAUAUAAAGCCACAACUUCUUCUCACCCUCCCCCAAAGUUUCUGUUCCUAGGAAGAACUCAACUCUAGCCUGAACUUUUGCUAUCUGAAGUCCAGUCAGCAUGUAAUGAGGCAAGACUCUUGUGAAUAAUAAGUGAUUUACCAGUAAACGUUGAUUAAUACCCCUUCUAUAAUUAUUGGGUUGUGUUUUUUUUAACCUGUUGCAGCAUACAAUAUCAUAGCUGAUAAAGUUUUAUAGGUUCAAGUCAUGAAACUGAAAUUAGCUCCUUUAUGCUCAAAGGGCCAGAAAAGAGAUUAGUUUAUUCAGAUCAAUGCUCUUUCACAAUUCCCAGGUGUGUCUGGUUUUGAUAGGAUACAGCUGGGUGACGUGGGUGAAAAGCUUCACAAAAUAACCCAUCACGAUUUGUACGUUGUCACUGUUCAAAAAUGCUUAGCAAACAUUAAUCAACAGAUUCAUUAAUAGUGUUUAUCUUUAUAUUUAAGACAAUAGCCGACAGUCACAAUGUGCGGAAUGGAUCUGCUUCCUUCGCAUAACCUUGAGGGAGGCAAUUGUAAAUAUGGCUUGGAUAAGUUUGAUUUGUAUGCCCCUCUUGGCAUACUUACUUGUCUUAAUUUGAAAUUCUAAUGGAUACCUUAGUCCUGCCUUAGCUCCAGUAGUGUAAACAGAGAUAUACUGCAGUGGAAACACAAACGAUUGGAAUAGUGAUGAGGAGCGUAAGUGGUGAGAGUGCUGUGGUACUCAUGCUCUCCAUGUGAGCCUCCAAUAGGCAUCUGGUUGGCCACUGUAAGAACCGGAUGUGGGACCAAUUUGCAUGUGGUCCCUGGUAUCACCAGCAAAACCAGCUAUUUGUAUACUGGCAAAAAGGAAAGAAAAAGCUCCCAUUCAUUCUACGGCAACCUUCAAGAUUAGCUGGGGACCUAAUUUACCUUGAAUUAUCAGCAUUAGGAGGGACGCGGGUGGCGCUGUGGGUUAAACCACAGAGCCUAGGGCUUGCCGAUCAGAAGGUCAGCGGUUCGAAUCCCCGCUACGGGGUGAGCUCCCGUUGCUCGGUCCCUGCUCCCGCCCACCUAGCAGUUCAAAAGCACGUCAAAGUGCAAGUAGAUAAAUAGGUACCGCUCCGGCGGGAAGGUAAGCGGCAUUUCUGUGUGCUGCUCUGGUUCGCCAGAAGCGGCUUAGUCAUGCUGGCCACAUGACCCGGAAGCUGUACGCCGGCUCCCUCGGCCAGUAAAGUGAGAUGAGCUCCGCAACCCCAGAGUCGUCCGCGACUGGACCUAAUGGUCAGGGGUCCCUUUACCUUUUUAUCAUCAUCAGGAAGGGCGGUAUUUCUGCUACGACUCAGAUUUGAGUAUGGAUAAAUGUAGAUAUGUAAAUGGGCAUGGUCACACAAGGCUCCUGGUUCCCUUGGAUUUGUAACAUGAAUUUGUACGGCCUUUGGGACUGAGCUUUAUGUUAUAUUCAUUUGAAAUUUCAACUGGUGCAAUAGCCAAGGAAGAGAAAACAAGAGUUACUUUAUCCUUGAAUAAGGUUGCCUGCUUUUGCUUUUGAUGCAAGAGACUAAUAGCAUUACCCUUCUGGAAAGAACUAGUAUGCAACUUUAAUUAUUGGUGCCUGAGUUUGCUCCUUUUCUUCUAUACUCAACUUUAGCUGAGAACUCAUGAAGAACCCUCCUCUUUUUUGAUGACAGUUAGUGUAGGGGAGUCUUGAACUCAUCAGGUCCUCAUCUCUGCUACAACAUUGAUAUAUCGUAAUUUUUAGCUAGUAAUAUAUCGCGAUGUUGAAAACCAGGUAUCGCCCAGGCCUAAACAACAGUGCUAUAAAUUUGUAAUACAUACAUACAUACAUACAUACAUACAUACAUAUAUACAGUGGUACCUCAGGUUACAUACGCUUCAGGUUACAGACUCCGCUAACCCAGAAAUAGUGCCUCAGGUUAAGAACUAUGCUUCAGGGUGAGAACAGAAAUCGUGCUCUGGCGGCGUGGCGGCAGCAGGAGGCCCCAUUAGCUAAAAUGGUGCUUUAGGUUAAGAACAGUUUCAUGUUAAGAACGGACCUCCAGAACGAAUUAAGUACUUAACCCAAGGUACACACACACACACACACACACACACACACAUAUAUAUAUAUAUAUAUCUCUCCAGAGCUGCUGUGGCUCUAAUAGAAGGCUCAUGGGCAGAAAUUCAAGCAGCAAAGCUUUACCUCUCAUGGAGAUGCAGCAAAAGGAGGGGAAAAAGAACACCUUACCACACAAAAGCCUUUUUUUUUUUUAAAGCAGACAACAUGGUAGUAAUGUAUAAAUCAGACCUAGUAUAGACAUAUCUUUCUCACAGAAAAUAAACAGCAAGUAAGACCAACAUAGAUCUCAGUGUGAAUAAAGGCAACAGAACUGGGCAGUGGAACCAGCACAUAAUCUCACAGACCUCAGUUAGCAUUCACAGUACGAAUCACAGACAUGAAAUGGCCCACACUGAUUACUGUGUAGAUUGUAGCUGAUACUCUCUCGUACCUUUUGAACGGAAUAAAAGUUUAUUUAGGAGACAUUUUGAGCUCAAUGGGAUGCACUAGGCCUUCCAUGAUAAACAAAGUUGAAAUUCCCAGAAGCGCACGGUGUAGCAUUUCCAGGUAUUAAACACAAAGCAGUUUUCAAUUUUGUUCACGUCUUGCUUCUGUUUGACAAUCUCAUCUACUCCGUUUGUUGCCAAAGGCUAAUGCUCGGCUCCUCACUGACAGUCUCCAUCACUCUUGGAGACAGUCGGAGAGAAGGAAAGAAAAACAUUUUGUUCUCUACUGGGGUGGUUUUGCUCCUGGUGAAAAUAAAAGGGGAGGGGCAUGGGAGCACCACCAGUUUUACAGUGUACUGGACUAAGAGUUUGGUGGGGGCAGUAGGCCACAUAAGUGCAUGGAUGCUACUUCUCUGUUGAACAAGGACCUUGGUCCUUGCAGAAGAUCCUUAGUUUUGAGACAAUGCUCUUAUAGUUGGUUGGAAAACACCCACACUCCAAAAACACCUAGUAAAUGAACAGUGCUUUUCCUAGCUGAAGUGGUGCUUCAGGUUAAGAACAGUUUCAGGUUAAGAACGGACCUCCGGAACGAAUUAAGUACUUAACCCAAGGUACCAAUGUAAGGACCUCCUAAUUAAACCAUGUUAAUAACAUGAUUAUAUAUAGGUGAAUUCACUUGGAUUUACUUUGGAAUUAUUAUUUUUUGGUGGGGAAGGAGAAAUAGAUUUGACUGCUUUGGACUAGAUAUUGUAUUAAUGUAUCCAUAGAGCUGUCACAAAAUGGAUUCCUCCAAUUCACAACUCCACUCACAGGGCACAAACUAUGGACACAGGAGGCUGCUUUCAACUGAGUCAGACCAUUGAUCCAUCCAGCUCAUUACUGGCAGUGGCUCUCCAGGGUUCCAGGGAGGACUCUUUCCCAGCCCAGGAGAUGCCAAAGAUUGAACCUGGGACCUUCUGUAUGGAAGCAGAUGCCCUACCACUGAGCUACAACCCUUUCUCCUAUUUGUGGGAGAGCAAUUCACUAAUUUUCAUGACCCUGUAGAAAAUGAUAGAGCUGCUCUGGCAGAGCAUCCCAAGAGGAAGAAAGCUGGCUGCCCAACAGCCCCAUAGCUAGCAGUAUGCACAGGGUUCAAAUUAUAUGGAGGGUCUACACUUGUUCAACAGGCUUCCCUUUUGCAGACAAGUCCCAAUGCAUGGACAGUAUGUGAACAGGACUGGUAGGUUAUGCAGCGGCUAGGGUAGGGGGAGCUCUUUCUCCACAUCAUCUUAGUCACAUGGAGGUAAAGGUAAAGGGACCCCUGAGCAUUGGGUCCAGUCGUGACCGACUCUGGGGUUGCGGCGCUCAUCUCGCUCUAUAGGCCGAGGGAGCCGGCAUACAGCUUCUGGUCAUGAGGCCAGCAUGACUAAGCCAUUUCUGGCGAACCAGAGCAGCACACGGAAACGCCGUUUACCUUCCCGCCGGAGCGGUACCUAUUUAUCUACUUGCACUUUGUGCUUUCAAACUGCUAGGUUGGCAGGAGCUGGGACCGAGCAACGGGCGCUCACCCCAUCGCGGGGAUUCGAACCGCCAACCUUCUGAUCGGCAAGUCUUAGGCUCUGUGGUUUAACCCACAGCGCCACCCGCAUCCCAUUCGCCACCCACAUCCCACUCACAUGGAGGUAAUAAUGCCCAAAUAGGGCUUCUAAAAUAACCAAAUGCGUUUCUCUGACUAUAUAGGUAUAUAGUAAAACUAUAUAUAUAAAUUACUUUUUGUCCCAGUUUUUAGCUGGAAGCAUUGGACCCAAUAGACACAGUGAAAAAUUGAGAUUGUUAAGCUGGGAUGAUCAGAAAGGCAAGGUGAACUAUCUUUCUGUAUGCUCCGCUUGUUUCUUCAUGCUCAGUGUACAGUUUAUUACACCUUAAGUGUGUUUACACAAAUGCAAUAUUGUAAAUAUUUAAUUGUCUUUGUAACGGCUCAGUCAGUCAGAUUCUUAAAGGUUAUGUUGAGAGCUUCUGGAGUCCCAGGGCAGUGUUUAUUUUUAGUUUACAAUGAGCAGCUUGUUGAAGACUCACCAUCUGCUCAAAUGAAAAAAACACCACUUGACAGAGUGGACAAUUGAAAGGAUGCCUGCAAUUCUUAAUGAAUAACUUGUGGCCCAUUGUCACAAAUCGGUUAUCCUGUCACCAUAACUCACUGACUCGGAGUGACUUUGAAUGUGAUGUUGACAGGCACUUCCUGUUGCUCUGGGCCUCAUCUUGGCCAAAAUAGACCUUUCAAAUUUCCUUCCCCCUCUCCAGCACUUAGACAUUCAGCAUCCCAAAGUGCAGAAAGGGCAUGUAAGCUUGGACAUGGGGGAUUCUUUUCCAGAAAAGACAGGGAUGUAGUGGAAAAUAAGGCAUUGCACAUUCUGUUAUACAAUGGAAGAUAAGACAUAUGUAAAAAUGAGCAGGCACUUGCCUAGUACAAAAAAAGAAAUUUGGAAGUUACAUUGGUGCAGAUUGCCUAUAGUACAACUUGGAAGCAGAGUGGUCUAACGUCCACAAAUGCUUGUCAUGUGGUGCCUCACUACACUACAAAUACUUCAAGUAUUUGGCCCCCUAAUUGAAGGAGGAGAUUUAUCGCACUGACUCUUCCAGGUUGCCUUAUCUGCUGAACAAUUGUAGGAAUGACGUUGUGAAGAUUGUGGCAAGAUUUUUGAGUGAUGCCAUGAAAUUAUGUCACCAUAGGUCCUAAGAGCUAUUUUCGUACAUCAUGAUGUCUGGACAGUUUUAUCCUAAAGUAUCUCCACUAUGUUUUGUUAACUGUGUUGUGUCCAUGUAUACAAUGCACUUUUUCAAUGCCAAUAAAGGAGAUUGAUUGAUUGAUUGACCAACCAACCAACCAACCAAUCAAUCAAUCAGUGGAGGCACCAUAUCAAUGAAAUGAUAUGGUGCCUCCAUUGACAGCUGCCUCAAAACCCCAAUAUAAGAAGAACAUAAAGUAUAGCAGUUGGUUCUCUUGGUGUUUUCUAUGUGGCUAUGCCUAUCGGUCAAAGCAGGGUAAUGUCUAUAAAGACAUUUCUAAUGGCAUGUGGCUUGGGGUAAUGGCUCAGGCCUCAGGUAGUAUUUUUACUCAAAGAAGAAAGCAAUGAUUAGAAAUGAAGUCCAUAGAGUUAAGAGUGUAUGGAACCCCUUGAGGAAGGUUGCUCACCGUAUCAAAACUUCCCCUGAACUUCCUCAAAUCUACCUCAAAAGUUUACUUUGAUGGAAAUUCUGCACUGAACGUAGUUCCAAAUCUUCUCAAGUUUGCCAAUGCAUGGAGAAUUUCUUACUCAGCUCCAAAUUCCCAAAAGAAUAUCCAGUGCUCACAAGAGCCACAAGAUAUUCAAGGCACUUGUUUAAAAAGAGUUGGGGAGUUCCAUAUAGGGAUAUGCAGAAUCCCACAAUAAUUUUUGCUGGUCUUAUUGAAGCUCUGCUUAUUUCCUUUGAAAAUCCUUUUCUAUUUUGCCCCGAGUAGUGAUCCUGACUCAAAUUCACUUUGAAAAUUAAUUUUAGGUGAAAUUGGGGCCUAUUUUCACUAGGGCAAUUCUAAAUUAAAACAUGUUCUAAUGAUAUUUAUUAGAGUACUGUCUGCUUGCCUAGUCAGUUGUGUUUCAGUUACAUCUGCAGCCAGUCAUAUUAUUUUUAAAAAUGUUUAUCUUUGAAAUGCCAUGGCCACAGCUAUGUGGAGUUUUGCGUUGACAGUAUUUCUCCUCCAUAUGCCUUUGGCUUUUUCAUAUUGUCAUGACAACGUGAUGAGAAUGAGACCUUACGCAUUAGUUUGUAGUACGGCAAUUCAGAUUUUUGUUCUGAUGUAAACAGAGAGAGAUGAGAGAAAAUUCACUGGUAUAUAAAUCAUAUGGAAUAAAACAUGUUUACAUUGUUGAAUUCAAGCUCCACUACUUUCUUGCUGUAAUGUUCUGGGCAUAAUUUUCACAAAGCAUGUGUGUAGCUAAAGGAUUUGCUUUAAGCUUGAGGGAGCAGUGAUGUCUUCACAUUUAGGCUACAGCGGCAAAAGCAAUAAAGCAUUUCCUUACAAGCUCCAGAUCUGCUUGCUUCCAGGAGAUGAAUGGCUUAGAGGGCUACACAAACAACUGAAUUUCCUGGCACCCCUGUUACACCUGAGAAAGCACUAAAGCACCUGAGCUUUUCUAUUUCACAUUGGAAAAACAGAUCCAAACAUUUGUUAUAAAACAAAAGGCAAAAAUAUGGGAGGCCACCAUCCUUUCGGAGGUAGGACCAUAAAGAUGCCAUUUUUCAUUUUUAUUAGUGAAGUCGCUGAAGUUUGUAAUUAUCUGGUUUAGAAUGCAGUUUGUAAAGCUCAGCAGUGCUAUGAAAAUGAGAUCCUGUGCAUGUGCAGCCAGUUAGUUCCCAAAGUUAGCUGCUUUGUACAGUGGUACCUCAGGUUACAGAUGCUUCAGGUUACAGACGCUUCAGGUUACAGACUCUUCUAACCCAGAAAUAUUACAUCGGGUUAAGAACUUUGCUUCAGGAUGAGAACAGAAAUUGUGCGGUGGUGGCACGGCAGCAGCAGGAGUGCCCAUUAGCUAAAGUGGUACCUCAGGCUAAGAACAGUUUCAGGUUAAGAACGGACCUCCAGAACGAAUUAAGUUCUUAAGCCAAGGUACCACUGUAGAUGGACAUUCGAACAUUAUUUAAUAAUAAACUCCUUGAUCUCACUGAAUCUCUGGAUUGCUGUGAACCUGCAGGAACUACGGAUGCCACCUGCCCAUGCACAGAAUAGCUUUACCACUAAAUCCUUACUCCUGCUGAAAUGCUUGUUGAUUGCUGCUAACUUCAUGAGGAGACCACUUGACCAAUCAGCCUUUUUGAUGAAUAUUUUCUCUAUGGGUAAAUUAUCUUGAGGUCAUGUGACUUUUGUCCCCCCAUCCAUACCUAACAUCCUCUUGUUCCCAGAUGUAUUUGAUUUAGGAAUGAUUUCUCCAUUUAGACUCUAUACCUUGCAGUUUUUGGAUCCCCCGUAUUGACCCUUUUGUCCCUGUGCUCAAUCACCUCUGGUCCAGAUCCUUUGAGGACUUGCAUUUCUAUAUACAUCGUCACCUAAAGCCAAGCACAGCCGCACUGCCCUGCUUGAUGCCUGCAAGUUAGACAUCGACUGUGCCAGGUUGUGAUCUUACCUGUGAAUGCCUUUAGGUUCUGGCUUCACAAUACAACUGCUGGUAAAUUGUAUAAGGGUUUAAAUAUUGUCAGUUCCAUAAGAUUACACCAAUACUGAUAAAUCAAAGGACCACAUACUGUAUGAUAUCAUUUGAUGGAUCAGAAAGCAUCCACAUAUGUAUCAUUUGGUGUAUCAGAAACAGUGGACAUAAAUCAUAUGUGAAUAUUGUCUAUCUGUACUGCAUUACCUUCAGCUAGAUGGGCAGUGGAAUGUGCAACAUCAGCCAAAUUUUGGUGCAACCAGUGAUGCAUAAGCAUGCUCAACUAGAGUUGAUUGUAAACAUUCAUGUUUAAUUCCACAUUAUGAUUUUCAUUGUCGUAAGCAGCCACAACUAUACAUAGCAACAUUUACUGAACUAAUAUCUAAUUUGCCUUUCAUCUGUUGAGUCCUACCAUAGCCCAUUAAGUAGUCUGGCUAUUAAUACACUAUAAUUAUUAGGAUUCUGCUUCCCAGCUGGGAGAUAAAUUUGGAUAAUUACUGGGAGCAGAUGCAAUGCCACCUGCCUCCCGCUACUGAACUGUGACCCAUGUUGUCCAGAUGGCAUCCCUAAUUUAAGACGUCCUCCUGGAGCCUACAACCAGCAGAUUGAAGAGGAGGAAAGAAUCUGGUCGUGGGAUCUUACCUCUUAACAUUUGCUGCUUCAUGUAUUCAGCAGGAUUUUUAGACUUCCAAGGAGGUGAGGAAAAGCACCUUGCUAUCUUGGUGUCCUCUUGGCGGCAUAGAUGGUCCUCAGGAAGGGAUGUGGAGCAGAUGGAAAUGAUGUGAUGAAUUGCAUUGACUUUGUGUUAGCAUUUCAUCUCGAAGUAGAGCAGCCUUUUCCAUCCUGCUGGCUUCGUGCUCUUUUAGACUACAACUUCCAUCAGCCCCAUGCAACAUGGCCAUGCAGGUUGAGGCUCAUGGUGACUGUGGUCCAAAACAGGUGGAAGAAAACACAAUGGGAAAAGAUACUUCAGACAAAAUGAUGGAAAUAUAUGCAUACUUAACUUGGGAGAAAAUCCCAUUGAAUUCAGUAAAAACAAACCAACAAAAACAUAGCAACCAACUAUUAAGUAGCUAGAACCCCUCCAAUGACCAACAGUGCUUAGUUUGUUGUUACUGCCAACUUACAUAGACUAUUUAUUAAAGUUAGUUACGAUAUUCUACACUGAUAAGGCAAAAUGACUGCUGGGCAUUUACCGUUUCCUUUAAGAAAUGCUUUUGCUUUAAGUAACUAAAGUGAAAAUGACUAAUCUUAAACCAAUUAAGCUCGUAGUCUUUUUGAAUUGCCUUAGAAUUCAAUUUAAUAGAUCCAAUUUAGGCAAAAUCCAAUUUGAAAGGUUGGUCGGCGAGUAAAACACUGGCCAAAACCUUUGGAUUGGCCGAGGAAAGAGACUUUCUAAUUUUCAUAUUGAUUCAUAGUAAUUGACAAUCUAAUUUUAAAAACAGCAAUGUUUGUUCCUUACCUCAGAAAGUAUAUUUAGCAGUAGUGACUGUAAAUAUGCUUUAAGAAAGCAGAAUAAUAUGUUAAACAGUUUCACUAAUUGGAUAACAAUGAUUAAUAUUCCAAUUCAACAAAGUGCGAAACGAACACUUCUCUGUAUUAGUUUUCCUCUGCUUACCAAGUGUUGGGUCUUAUCAUUCAGAAAGCAUAAAUAUAAAUGGAAAUUAUACAUUAGGCUGGCACAUAUUAAAUGAACAUUUUUCCAUAUAGUACAAGAAACAUAGCUGAACAUCAGUUGUACUUCCAUAUGAGUCCCAUCUGAAGUUCAUGAGGAGGUGGGACCAGCAGAACCUGUUCUAUGGUGGCACCAAUAUAUUGGAGCCUUUGCAAAAGGAAACGCAUCACAACAGGCAAUGGGUGGCUUCAGAUUCUGUCUCUUGUCCUCUUGCCCUUCACCCUAUUUAAGUCCACUGUUGGUAGAAAAGUGGGUGGGCAGGACCCCUCAUAGUCAGUGGAGAGAGGGAAAAUGACUCUCACCAAAGUACAGACACAGGAAAUGACAUCAUGGCUGGGGAAGGGACAAUGCUGAGGAGACAGUGUUGGGCCCCUGGCCGGUGUUCGGUUGUGCUGUCUUCUGCUGCUGUGCCUGCCUCUGAGGACUGGGACUGCAGCAGAUGGCGAGGGGGGGUUUAAUCCUUUCCUCCAAUUCUAUAGUCCCAUUGGCACCAUCUUGUUUGAUGGGAAGGUCAGAAUAUGAGGCGGAAAUGUAGUUGCGAUAUGCUAGAAGGGCCAAGCACUUCUCAAAGGACGCUCCCUGGCUUGCUAUUUUGAGUUGGGAUUCAGUCACAAAUCCAGAUCUCCAGCUACCAGUGUUGUGUAGUGGUUAGACUAGGACCUGGGAGACCAGGGUUCGAAUCCCGAUUCAGUCACGAAGCUUGCUAGGUGACCUCAUGUCAGGCACUGUCCCUCAGCCUAAGUUACUUGAGCAUGUGGUGGAAUGUCAGUUCCAGGGGUUUCUGGAGAAAAUGGUUGAUGUAGAUCCAUUUCAAUCUGGUUUUAGGCCUGGUCUCUGCAGCGGCCAGGGGUGCAUUUGCACAGUUAAAACUCUUGUGCCAACUGCACCCAUUCUCUGAGAUGUCUGAUUUGGUCACAGUGACACAACCCAGCAAGGAUAUAAUACUUUUUUUUUGUUCUUAACUGGGAACAGCUUGUGAGGAGCGGGAAAUGGCCAAUUUAUAUUUUAUAAAGCGGUGGCAACGCACCAGCAAUGCAAGUGUUAACAUGCCUGACUUAACAAGGCUCUAUUUCCUGACAGCGCAACAUGGUUUUUAAAAACACUCCUGAAUGAAGAUGGUAACAUGCCAGUCAUUAUACAAGGGAUAAUGGUGGCAGAGCGAUGGCUGAAUGAGAUAUUUCAUUUUUUUUUUAAUGGGACAAAACUUUUCUUCGCAGCUGUCUUUCUGCCUCUUUCUCUUACCUUUUCUUUGGCUGCCUCUCUUCUCCUUUAUCCUUUCAUUCUUGUUUCAAGAAUAGCGAAAGAACAGCGAUAAGAAAAAGGUGACAGAGAGAUAAAUCACACAAAAGACUUUAAAAAAGCCUGACAUAUACGAACAUGGGAAAUGCAUUGCUUGAUAGAGCAAUGAUGUCUUUAACAUGACUACCCACCCCCAUGAGCCCAACACACUUUUGUGAAAGAUUUUGCGCUCAUUUUGUUUUCCCCAGUGUUUGGGGGCAUUUUGGAGAAUGGGUAGAAAAUGCUGCCGAAAUAUGGAUUACUAAUCUGUGUGUGCAUAUGCGUCUCAGAACUGUCAGACAGAGGGUGGAUGUGUCUUAAAAGAAGAGGAAGUAAUGGAUGUUUUUCCCAGGGGGGAAAAUGUUUUGUUGCUGUUUCAGGUCUUGGCUUCAGGAUCCCAGUGGCAUCCCAUUCUACAUUGGGACAGAACACACCAUGGGAACAAAAUUGUCCCAUGGUGUCACACAGGGGUGGGGAACCUCAGGUGGUGGGGAGAGGGGUGUGUGUGUGAAUGCGGCCCUCCAGGUCUUUUAUUCUGGCCCUUGGAACCCUUCAUGCCACGCCUCCUCUCUCCAGGCCACACUGUUUUGCAUCCUCCUUGAGUGGGUUUGCCUGGGUGAAAUGAACUCCAGCAUAGCCUUUUGCUUGUAUGGAUAGAGGAGAGGGGUACAUAGGGCUGUGUGUAGAAACUAGCCUAUGGAGAAAGGUAAAAUGUACCGUAUUUUUCGCUCUAUAGGACGCACCAGACGAUAAGAAACACCUAGUUUUGGGGGGAGGAAAACAAGGAAAAAAAUAUUCUGAAUCCCAGAAGCCAGAACAGCAAGAGGGAUCUGGCUUCUGGGAUAGUCUCUUGCUGUUCUGGCUUCUGGGAUAGCCGCUGAAGCCUCUCCUGGGCAGCGGGAUGAAGGCUCCCCCUGCCUGGAAGAGGCUGCAUGUGGGUAAGCUGCCCUUUGUCCCUUCCCCCAUCUCCCGCAAGAGCCGCGUGCUCUUUAAAGGGAGUGCGGCUCUUGGGGGCUUUUCUGGGAGGUGGGGGAAGGGACAGAGCCACACGCUCUGUCCCUUCCCCCCACCUCCCGCAAGAGCCGCGCGAAGCCUCCGCAGGGCAGCGGGGAGCCUUCAUCCCGCUGCCCUGCGGAGGCUUCGGGGGGCUAUCCCAAAGCCAGAAUAGCUAGAGGGAGCGCUGCGCAGCACUCACUCUAGCUGUUCUAGCUUCCUGCAAAGCCUCUGCAGGGCACGGGCAGCCUUCACCCCCGUGUCCUGCGGAGGCUUCACGGGCUGUCCCAGAAGCCAGAACAGCAAGACGGAGCGCUCCAUCUCACUGUUCUGGAUUCUGGGACAGUCCGCGAAGCCUCCAGAGGGCAGCAGGAUGAAGGCACCCCACUGCCCUGUGGAGGCUUUGCGCAGCUAAGCCCGAAGCUAGAACAGUGAGACGGAGCACUGCACAGUGCUCCCUCUCCCUUUUCUGGCUUCUGGCUUAGCCGCGUAGCCUGCAUUCGCUUCAUAAGACGCACAAACAUUUCCCCUUACUUUUUCGGAGGGGAAAAAGUGUGUCUUAUAGAGGGAAAAACACGUACAUUUGUUGCUCUGUCCACUUUUGAUUCUGACCUCUUCCACUAUCGGUAUUCAGCCCACAAAAGGUUGCCCAGAAGCAGGGUCAGCCCAAUAUAGUUUGGCACUUGAGGCAGACCCCAAAGUGGUGUCUCCUUCAUUGUCAGGUAAGAAGGGGUGAAGGGAAAUCUAUGGUAUACUGUAUCAGGAACAAGAGGAAACAAAGAAAGAUGUACAUGGGGAUCAGCUGCCCCUGAAGAUUCUGUCACCUGAGGCAGUUAUCUCACCUUGCCUCAUGGAUGGGUCGGCCCUGCACGGAUAUGAAUGUGGCCCUUGGACUUAGGAAAUGUUCUGCAGCUCUGAUGUAGCAUAAUUCCCAGGAACAUCCUUAGGGUAAAAGAUGGCUGCCUCCAUAGGGCACAAUUCAUUAAGUUUCAGGAAUGUUUAAAUCCCAUUCAUUUUAAUUUGAGAGUUAAGUCUAUUCACCCCCUUAUCAGGCAGGUGGCUUUGUGGGUGGGCCCCAGGCCACCCUGGUAAACCAACCUAUUGCAGGCUGGACUGUCUUUGUGCCACCAAAUGGGCCAAUGGCGGAAGGAGUUAGGGGGCAUUCCCCUGGGUGCAAGCCCAACAGACCAAUUGCAGCCCUUGCAGCCCAGGGGAAGUUUAAGUGCCUGGCCUGUGGGGCCUUUUGGCUUCUCUCUCGCUGUGCCAGUUACCACAAUGCCUAUGGCCAAACCUCACAUAUGUAACCAAUAAAGUUGUGGCCUUAUUUGAUCCCAAAACCAAUAUGCCAUGUGUUGUCUAGUUAUUUGCACCUUAGGGAACAGGGUAGUCAUGGGGCCUCGAUACGCAAUUGAAUUAUUGAAUCUCUGCCACUGAAAUUAGCUAGAUUUUAAGGAAAUGUUUCAGUUUGUUUAAAUAAUGGUUUAGUAUAGAAACCCUUUAAGAGCUUGUCAUCACCCUUAAUAAAGAAUUCCCUCUCCCUCCCCAAAUUUAGUUUUGCUUCCCUUUCCCUUUUCAAUGGAAUUUGCAGACAGGUUUCCCAGGAUACCUUUUUCUUAGAGACAGUAGAGAUGGAGAGGUAUCUUUGUGAAAUCUGUUUGCCUACAGAGAAUAUUAAAGGUAAAGGGACCCCUGACCAUUAGGUCCAGUCGUGGCCGACUCUGGGGUUGCAGCGCUCAUCUCACUUUAUUGGCCAAGGGAGCCAGCGUACAGACUAAGCCGCUUCUGGCGAACCAGAGCAGCGCAUGGAAACACCGUUUACCUUCCCGCCGGAGCGGUACCUAUUUAUCUACUUGCACUUUGACGUGCUUUCGAACUGCUAGGUUGGCAGGAUCAGGGACCGAGCAACGGGAGCUCACCCCGUCGCGGGGAUUCGAACCGCCUCUCUUCUGAUCAGCAAGUCCUAGGCUCUGUGGUUUAACCCACAGCUCCACCCAUGUCCCUACAGAGAAUAUUAGGAAGCAGUAAUAAGCAGAGACUGCAGUAUUUUACAAGGACAAUCAAUGCUGGAUCAAAAUCCAAGAAGCUAGGAGUUGGCUGUGGCAGACUGUUCCACAAAACAAGAAAAAAAAGUUCCAACCCUGACAUUGGUAGACUACGAUUCUCAUAGGCCCUAGCAAACAUGGCCAAUUAUCAGGGGUGAUGGGAGUUGUAGUUCAGCAAUAUCUGGAGGCCCAAAACAUCCCCACACAACAGAUCUAAGUGAUUUUUAAAUGUCAGUGGUAUUGGAGAGAGAGGCUGGGAAGAGAGAUUUCUUGCUUUCUUGUAGCAGAGUUAGACACAGUGGCGAUUGCUCCGGGCACAUUUAAACUUGGUUGGAUUUUGCAUUUAUCCUAAUUUACCUUUAAAUAAAUGUUCCCAAUGAAAAUACUUAGGCUAAAAUAAAUCACAGACACUUAGCUUUGCAAAUAAGUGAAUGUUUUACUCACAGAUUUUCCAGAAAUCUGUUACAGCAAACAAGUACCCAUCUGUUGGCAGUAAAACAAAGAUGAACAAAGGCUUCAAACAACUUCAAAACAAAUGUACUUGAUUUCCUUACAAAAAGGAUCAUGCAAUCUUUGGCUUAGCAAAGAUGCAGGCUGUAAAAUCUCACUUUUGGAGAGAUUCACUUCACUUGCAGGGAGCCUCAUGGUUCCUUCUUUAAGGAAGCAUGAAGAGAAAGGAGAGUGAGAUGAGGGAUGGGAACAGGUGCUGCUGAAAGGCAACCUGAGCUGUGGGCUCAGGUUAACUCUUUCACACAUGGAAGUGUAAGCCAUUAACUGGAUAUUGCAAUAAGCGGCUCCUAUGUGCUCUGGUAGCUUCCAGACUGGAUUAUUGUAAUGCAUUCUACAUGGAGCUGCCCUUGACGAUGACUCAGAAACUUCAACUGAUCUAAAAUGCAGUAGCCAGGUUACUGGCUGGGGUUUAAAUCAUAACUCACAUAAACACUGUUUUAAAACAGCUGCACUGCUUGCUAGUUCAUUUCUGGGCCUAAUUCAAGGUGUUAAAAUUAGUGUUUAAAAUCUUAUAUGACUCUUGCCACAAAUAUUUGAAAGACUGUCUCUUUCCCUAUAAACCUUUGAUUGCUAAAAUCAGCAGAGGGGACCCUCUUGGUAGUUUCACCACCUCAGAUGUUUAGUGGGUGGCAGUCCAGGAGAAGGCAUUAUCUAUGGCAGCUUCUAAAUUAUAAUAUUUCUGCCUCAGAGUGCUGGCAGAGGAACAGGGGCAGGGGGCGGGUGGAGCGCCCUGCCCCCAGCACCAUCGGGGAGGGGGCGACCAUUGCAGCCACCCCUUGGACACGCGCUGCGCACCCCCACCGCGCCGGGCACCACACCCCCGCAGGUGGUGUGCCACACCCCCGGGAUGUGCGCGACGCCCCCACGGGCAACAUGCCACGCCCCUGGGACGUGUGCCAGCCACGCCCCUGCCUGCUAUCUGCCCCCGGUUCCGGGCCAUGCAGCUUCGCCACUGCCUCAGAGAAGUGCAUUUAACACUACCAAACUUUUAGAAAAACAUGUGAAGGCUGCCCUGUUUAGGGAAGCUUUUAAUGUUUAAUAGGUUAUUGUAUUUUAGUGUUUUGUUGGAAGCUGCCCAGAGUGGCUGGGGAAACCCAGCCAGAUGGGCGGGGUAUAAAUAAAUCAUCAUCAUCAUCAUCAUCAUCAUUAUUUAGUUUCUGUCAUAUCAUAUGGUGAAGAUGCUCUGCUGCACUCUAGUCUUUGACUAAUCUGUGUAUAUGUAUAUAUUUGGGACCAAGCCUAUUGCUGUGAUGGUAACUUGAUUUAAACUGAAUUAAUAUUGUAUUUUUAAUUGUUUGAACCCAACCUGUGACCUUAUGGGGAAGGGCGGCUAAGAAACUGAAAUAGUAAUAAUAGCUGAGUGAAGAUGGGCUCCAAAAAUUCUUCACCCUGUUUGCACACCAUGAGAUUGGGAGUACAGUGUCACUAAAUACUCUUGGGAAGGAGAUAUUUUCCUUUAGUAAGGUUCUUAACCCCCGCACAUCACAAGGUUUUCUUUGCCAAUGCAGCAACUGAGCUGCCAUUUUAUAUCCCCCACAAUGCCCCAGGCCUAGCAUUGCUCUUUGGGAUUGAGGGGAGGGGAUAGUGACUACUACAAAAAUGGUAGAGAAUAUUCGCCAAAUGGAGGUGGUGCAAAACAGAAUUCCCAGAAAUUUCUCCCACGAAAAUCUCUUCAGAUUUACUCUUGUCCCGAGAGAGAGAUACAGAGACUAUAAUUCUGGUCUGUAAAUGGGAAGAUGGCACAAAAGUUAACAGUUAAAAAAAAAUACAACACACAAUAACCUCUUUAUCAUACUAUUUUUUUUCUUUUGAAAUCAGAACUGGAGGCAACAGCCUCUUGUGGCUUUAAGCGUAAGAGAAACUGGUAUUCACUGUAGUUUUUGCAUAAAUCACAUGAGUACAUUUAUUAGCUCAUGUUUAACAAACGCUGUGUUUAAGUGACACCUAAUCACUACUCUUGUUCAGUGCAAGUACCUCAGAGCAAAUUCAUGUCAGCUGUCUAUAUUUCUUUAAGAGCUCACUAAUUGUUCUUUAGGGCAUUGAUACAGAAUAAUUUCUUAUAUCUUUUUUUUUUUAAAAAGAGACUUUAAUAUUUCAAUUCAGACCUCGCAAACAAUUAUAGGCUGUUGUGCUCUUGGUCAUUUUAGACAACACUUAUGAAAAAUGGAUGGCACUGGGGAGAACGGCGUAUUUCAAUAAGGUCUUAGAUACAGUGCAUACUUCAAACUUCCUUUUGCUCUUCUGAGAGCUCAGAAAGAAGGAAGAAAAACACUAAGGAAGAUUUGGUCUAGUUUUUUUAGACACUGCAUCAAUGAAUGUAACAGCACUUAGCCUUCAGAUAGUCCCAUAUUCAUGGUUCAAAGCACCUUACAUUCAUUAUCUCAGUAACAAUUGCAACACGUACAUCUAUCUUGCAAGGUAGGACAGAAUUUUGUGUGUAUUAUAGAUGUGGGAAAGGAUGAUGCUGAGACAGAGUGGUUGUCUAAAGCAACCUAGUGAAUUCAUGGCUCAAAAUCUUUUGAAUCAGAUUUCCCUCUUCCCAGCUCACACUCUUAUGCUGCAAUUCUAUGGUCACUUGAAAAGGACCAUAUCCCACCAAACUUCGUGGGGACUUACUUCUGAGUAGAUACACAUAGAAUUGAUAGGCUAUAGUCCUACACACAUUCCUCUGUGAGUAAGCCCCACAAAUGAACUUGUUUCUGAGUACACAGGCAUAGGAUUGCAGUUGGGUACUCUGUACUACAUCAUUUUUCAAAAUAUGAAACACAGCAGUAUAUAAAAUGCAAUUAGUAAGAACAGUGAAAUCAGAAAUUCCACUGCAAUAUUUUUGGAGUUGCUAUGGGAUUAAGCAAUUUGGUUGAGGUAAUUACAUCUACCGUAUUUUUCGCCCUAUAGGAUGCACCGUCCCAUAAGGCUCAUCUAGUUUUUUUGGGGGGGGAAAUGAAGGGAAAAAAAUUUAUUUCCCCCCCAGGUGCGGGGCUGGGGCAGGGGAAGCCCGAGCUUCCCCCGACCCCCAACCCCAGCCCCCAGAACAGGCAGCUCUCCACAAGCCGUGGGAGCCUGGUGCCGGGCUCCCGCGCCUUGCGGAGAGCUGCGCGAAGCCUGGGCGUGCUGAGCUCAGCGCGCCCAGCCUUCGGCAUGCAGGCAACUCUCCGCAAGCCGUGGGAGCCCGCGCUGGGCUCCCACGGCUUACGGAGAUCUGCGCGAAGCCUGGAGAGCAAGAGGGGUCUAUGUGCACCGACCCCUCUCGCUCUCCAGGCUUCAGCGAAAGCCUGCAUUUGCCCCAUAGGACGCACACACAUUUCCCCUUCAUUUUUGGAGGGGAAAAAGUGCGUCCUAUGGGGUGAAAAAUACGGUAGAUAUACAGGACACACACUGCCUCUAUAAAGAAUUCUCUUUCCAAGUUACCUAGUCCUCUUAAGAGGAGUCACUCUAUUCUUCAUAUAGUUUACAUAUAAUAGAUGGCCAAAGCACAGCAUAGCUUCAUUUAAAUGUUAAUUCCAUGUAGAGUUCUUUUUGCAUGCUGCUAAGAAAACAUUACCCAUGGUAAAGGCCUUGAAUGUGAAUAACUACAGUGCACUCUCUACUGUAAGGGAUUAUCAAGUGCUGAUUCCUGCUUUGUGAGUCUGAUGUACUCCAGAUAAGUGAAAGACUAUGGUUGCAGUCCAAUGUAGAGUAAAGCACACACAGACUGCAAUACCAAACACACUUGAAUGAUAGAAUAAUGGAAUCAUAGACUUGGAAGGGACCCCCAUAGAUGAGGGUUUCUCAAACCUGGGUCUCCAGUCGCUAGGGAGUAAGUUCCAUUAAAGACAGUAAGGCCUACUGUGUUGUUAAAUAGAUUGGUUUCAGUUGGGCUAAGUGUGCAGAUAUAGGAACCUUUCUUAUAAUGAAUUCAACCAUUGUCCCAUCUAGCUCAGUACGGCUAACAUUGACUGGCAGUAGCUGUUCUGUGUUCCAGGCAGGGAUCUCACGCAGCCUGGGAUUGAAGUUGUGACCUUUUGUAUAUACAAAGCAGUUGCUCUACCAUUGAUCUACAGCCUUUCCUUGCAGCUCCUGUCAUUCCCACUUUCAGCCAAAAUAAUGUAUUGUGCCACGUUGUGGCAUGAAUGGGCAUUGAAUCCAGUCAGCUGUUAAGUCUUCCUAGUCUCCAUUCCUCAGGUCUAGAGAGUUCUAUGUCAGGUAAUGUUUUGUUGUAGUACAAAUGGAUGAAGCGACUGCUGGGAGAGGCAGGGGAUGGUUAUUCCAACACGAAUAACCAGUGAACAUUCCACAUGAUAUGGCUGGCCACCAGUGAGGCCAAAUACUGUGUUAGAUGUUCUUUUGGUUUGAUCCAGCCAGGUGAUCACUAUGAAGAAACUUCUACAGUGGUACCUCUGGUUAAGAACUUAAUUUGUUCUGGAGGUCCAUUCUUAGCCUGAAACUGUUCUUAACCUGAGGUACCACUUUAGCUAAUGGGGCCUCCUGCUGCUGCCGCGCCGCCGCUACGUGAUUUCUGUUCUCAUCCUGAAGCAAAGUUCUUAGCCCGAGGUACUACUUCCGGGUUAGCGGAGUCUGUAACCUGAAGCGUCUGUAACCUGAAGCGUCUGUAACCAGAGAUACCACUGUAUUUGUUUAAGGGAAAAUUAAUUAAGGGGGCUUUGAGUUUUUCAAACAGCAGCCUCCUCCAUGGCACACUGCAAACUCCUCUUGAAAUGGAGAGAACUUUCAAAUGCAGGAUUAUAGUGUGGCAUGAGAGUCUGCGGUUCAAAAGGGGGAAGGAGUCCAAUCUCCCCCUGAGGAUAUCUAAUCACUUGGACAUGUCUAAAGUGGCUAUUUCGCUCUGGGCCAAAGAGUGUGAAUAAUGAGCCCAAUUUCUAAUUUAACAGUGAAUCCCAAAGAGAUGCUUCUGCAAGCUAUGAAGUCAGCUUCAGAACGGACUAAAAAACUACGUCUCAGGAAUCCUAGGUGGGAAUCAAUCCUGUCCAAAUGACAGCCUCUAUGCUGCACCUCUGUGAGACGCUGCAUUUUUCCAUACGCUUUCAGUCUGAAUGACUUAUUUUUAGUUGAAAGGCAGCAAGCAACAGUGGAGAAAGGAAAGUCUCCAAGAGAGCACAAUAGGAGGAAGCAAUUCUACCAAGUGAAUUAUAUAGGAAAUAAAUAUGAUCAUGAUGGUUAUAUAGUUACACGGGCCACAUCAAUGACCAAGAAACUGACAGCAGUGUCUGGUUAGGAGAGCUAAUCACACAUAACAUUGAUUCAGAAAGCUUAGUGCUUAACAAAAACAUACUUUCGCCCCAUUACAAGUUCCAACCAGUUUGUGGAAUUGAUCGAUUCAGAACCUAAGCCAGAUUGCCCGCCAUCAUCCGAAACGCUCAAUUUGAGGGCCUCUGAAUUAUUUGCUUUCCCUUUCUGUAUUCUGACUUUGCCAAAUUGAGUGAUGGUAAUGUUUCUACCUGGAGUGUAAUACUACUUCAUUAAAAUCACGUGUGUUUUGCUGUGGAUUUCAAUAAGAGGUGGGCUGACUGCAACCUGAGAUUGAACACUAAAAACUGUACUUCAUCUAUCUUUCUCCUGGAAGAGAAUUUCAUUUGCACAUAGAGAAGGUGUAACAGUCCAGAAAAAGCGUGUGGCAAAUAGUUGUUGGGUUUUUUUUAAAGAGCCUUAAUAUCACUUCACAAUGCAUCAUUGUUUUAAACUUCUCCUAGCGUUGCUGUAGGACUGAGAUAAUUCAGGAUGAGGAGGGGAGGAGAAGAGGAGGAGGAGCAGGAGAAAGUAUCAGCCUCGUUUGCUGCUUAAGCACAGGGGGCUUGGAAGAGAUAAGACCGGGAUAGAAAAUGGAGAGAAAGUAUAACAGUUCGAUGCUAAAGGAGUACUUUUGGUCUCUGUGAAGCCUUUGCAUUAAUCAAAAUUGCAGGUCCUGUCUUGGGCAGCUCUCAAGUGAGAUUUUGAACUUCCCUGAGCUCUUCUUUAUUUCUGACCAUUCUCAUACUGCAUAAUUGCUAAAGCAACGCGAGCCCUUCAUUUUUAACACGCCUACUUGACAUUCUCUGUUUGUUUACUUGUUUCCCUUUAACAUCAAGCUAUCUGGAUGAAAUUCGGAUGCAUGUUCAGGAGGUAGAUCUACUUUUCAAAGCCGAGAUAUCAGCAUGAUGCCCCCCCACCUGGCAAUCACCCAUUUUGAAAGUGUGUGGGCAGAGAGGAAAGAGCAGAAAUAUGUGUGAUGUGUGAUCUGUUUUUGCAAUUGAGAUACUGGAAUGAAAAUUGGUUUUUCUCAUACAGGGCAUAAUUAUCCAGUUCAAGUGCAAAUAUCAGAUAAGCACAGCACCAGCCCAGUACAUUUUGCUGCCUGAACCAAGGAAAAAGAUGGUGCUCUGUUCCUUCCAAGUACUGAAGCCAACCACACUGUCAGCUGAACCUAACUUCCAACACAGGCAAUGGGACAGAAUCCUCAGCUACAAUAAACUAGUUCCUCCCAAGGCUUUGCCAAACGACAGAACCAGCUCUGAAUAACCAUCCCAACGUGGAUCUAUUUUUAAAGGGGAGGAGGAAGAUACAAUACCUGAAAGACCUCUCAAAUACGAUUUACUUGGACAAGGGUUUUCUCAGUAUGAGGACAAGCAUGCGUCCUAGAAGGGACAUGCGGAUGCAACAAAGAACUGCAAGGAGAAAAAAAGAACUCAUUGGAACCUUGUAAUGUGUUUGAUGGGGGAAGUCUUCUUUCUGGUCAGGUAAAAGUUGGUUUAACUGUCACUGGGAAGAGGUUAGACAUAGAACUCUCAGUAUGCAAAUGAAGGAUUGAAGAUGUGCACAUCCUGAUUGGUGGGUGCAGGUUUAGAAUUUUCAGUAAGUGAGUGUGAUUGGCUUGGGCUGGACUAGAGGGGUUGGAAGAAGUGGGUGCUAGUCAGUCAGGGUCAGUCUGUGUUGGCUGAUGUUUGUGGUGGACAGCCAAAAGAAGAAGGCAGCAGAGGAAGAUGGUCAAGGAAGAUGAAAGAAGACCCCCAGAGAAAGGCAGAGUGGGUUGAUGGCCACUUGAGGGCAUGAUGAUGGUCUGGAUGGGCUACUGGCUUGAUUCAGCAGGCUCUCAUGUUCUUAUGGUGGCUUAGAGUGCAGAGUUGAGGGGAGAAGCUGACCCCAGUGCUAAGAUGUGAGAGGCAGUUUGGAACGCUGGUCUCUAGUGUCUGGUAGAGGAGUCAGAGGAAGAUUCCACAACAGUGCAGCAAAAACAGACCUUCAAUAGGUUAGUAGUGGUUGGAAUGGGGUUUCAACAUGAAUCCUCAGUUCAUAGCUACCAACUUUUCCCUUUUUUAAAGGGAAAUUCCCUUAUUCCGAAUAGGAUUCCUCUCAAGAAAAGGGAAAGGUUGACAGCUAUGCCUCAGUUAUAGUGUUGGUGAGGCUUAACUGGGGCAGAGAAAAUAUAAGGGCAAUAAGGUAGAAAAGUUUGAAUAGGGUAACUGCUUCCUCAAAGCUGUCUGAGUUAGCAAUACUGUAGUACAAUGGUACCUCAGGUUACAGACGCUUCAGGUUACAGACUCCGCUAACCCAGAAAUAGUACCUUGGGUUAAGAACUUUCCUUCAGGAUGAGAACAGAAAUUGUGCGGUGGCAGCACGGCGGCAGCGGGAGGCCCCAUUAGCUAAAGUGAUACCUCAGGUUAAGAACAGUUUCAGGUUAAGAACGGACCUUCAGAAUGAAUUAAGUUCUUAACCCGAGGUACCACUGUAGUUUUAAAACAAGCUGUUGAUAUUUAAAGUGAAAGUAGCAAGUUAACAAAGUGUGCACUCAUUUAAAGACAAACAGUACUAUAUUAAAGGAACCAUAAGCUUCUGCAGUACAUAAUCUUGCAAUUAGUAAACUCCAAUAUCUUUGUUAAAUAUAGUAACUGAGUCUGACUAGCUUUAUCCCACAGCUACCAGGGUUAUUGGUAAAUUAAGGGUGCAAAAGUUAUAAGUGAUAUUAAAUGGUGGCAGCAGUAUGGGUUUAGGAAAAUCAUUGGAGUGGAAGUCGGGGUUUGCUUUUAUAGAAUGAGUAAGGAAAUAUCCCCACUUUCCCCAUGCCAUGCCCUGAUAAAUUGCUUGAAUACUUUCCUCAAACAUCAGGCUUAGUUGCUGUGUCCAAAACAGAACACUGAACUAAGUGGUCUCAUCUCAUCUAGCAAUGCAGUUCUUAUGCAAGGUAGUCUUUGAGCAGCAAACCAAGAACAACAGCUCGGCUAUUUCCUGCAGCUGCCACUCAAACCACCCCAUUGAAGUUUUACAAUAUGCUUCCUUGAGCUUUCUACUUAUGUCUACAUGUGUCACUUAUUCUCUUAGGGGGCUAGAGACAGAUUCAAUACAGAGAGGAAGCUAUUUUGUCUAUUUUUAAUUUUUAUAGAAACAACUCUCUGUAGCACAUCAUCAAUCAAUUGAACACUGAUAUUUAACCCUUGUCCCUCUCUGAUCUCUUGGCUGCCCUGUUUCUAAUAAUAAUAAUAAUAAUAAUAAUAAUAAUAAUAAUAAUAAAUUUUAUUUAUAUCCCGCCCUCCCCAGCCGAAGCUGGGCUCAGAGCGGCUAACAUCCUUUCUUCUCCUCCUCCAUCUGGGAAGCAAAGUUCCUAGAGCUAUGAGCCUGAGAUGGCACAAACUCCUUCUAUGAGGUGCUUGCCGUCAAAGAGCUUUGUUUCUCAGUGAGAUCAGGGGAUGGCGAAAACAGUAACCAGCAAGCAGGUAGAGAGUGAGCAAGGAGGGAUAAGAAUAAAACAUUAACAUUAAACAAUGUUGGUAUAGAAGAGACAGAUGUUGAACGACUAUAGCUCAAUGUUCAAGAACAUGCUUUUCAUGCAGAAGGUCCUUGGCUCAAUCCAUUUUUUAUGGUGGCAACCAUCUCUCCCCCAAUGUUCUGUAACAACACUUAAAUUCUGAAGUAUUGCGGAGAUACAAAAUGGUGGCCAAACUGCCAGCAAAACAACCUGCAGUCAUGGGGAGAAAAACUUAAGGGAGCAGAAAGAAGACGUCUUAUUCCACCUGUGAAUGGUAAUCCCCACUUCCCAAGACAUUGUUGGAGAAAUUCUCAUUCCUUGGAGAAAAUUGAGGAAAUGGUUCCCCAAAUUUCUCUGCCCACAGACAGGGUAGAGAAUUUUGAGGGGGCAUUGGCACUCAACUUCAGUUCCUAUUCACUUACCUAUGGAUAGGUAGACAGUGAACAAACCUGAUAGGUGAGAUGAUCAUGCCCUGGACCAGUCUUGAGUUUCCAUCUUGGAUGAGUGUGAUUUUUUGCCCUUUUACUGACAGUGAUGAUCAGUAGCGGCUCAUUAACUCUCGUCAGCAACUAAUCUAGGAGAAUGAACUUCUGAUCACAAAUUCUGUGCCCUGCCUGCACUAGUAUAAAAUCAACAGCUGCUCGGGCAAGAAAGUGGGAAAGAUUCUAUGUAAGCUUUUCUUACUUAAGUUCCAUUCUUAUUGCAUGAUAUACGGCCAAAACCAUUCAGCAGUCAACUGAUAUUCCUCAUGUGGGAAGCCAUAAAAAUUAAGUAAAGCCUUAAAUCGAUAAAUGGUUGGAUAUGAAUCCAUCGUAGUAACAGAGAAAGAAAGAGUAAGAUCCAUGGAUAUUUAUUCCUCAGCAUAAUAUGUUAUACCUCCAGGAAGGGGAUUUGUUACUUUGUUCAUCCAAGCCUACAUAUUUCUAAAAGGGAGAAUUCUGAAUGUCUUUUUAUUAUUACCCUUUCAUUGCAUUUCCAGACUGAAUAAAAGCACAAAUGAUUCUCAUUGACACUUUGACCCAUUAUUUCCUCCUAAAGGCAAUGAAGACCGCAGAAAAAGUCCAGCACCUGUAUCCAAGAACCCAUAUCUAAGUGCCUCUAAAUGUGAGUACCAUAUUUUAUAUACCCCUUAUGGUAAGAAUAUGACUAUCAAUAUGAAACUCCUUCUCUAGCUGCCAUCCAUUUCACCACAAUUCUAUUAAGAUGCAUUAUGUUUGCCAUAGCUUGUCCUCUAAAACAUGUUUCGUAAAUUUGGCAUCCUUACAAACAUAUCUCUCUACAAGAGGGGGUGAUUCCUGCCUGUUUGGAGGAGGCAGUGAUAAGACCGCUCCUUAAGAAACCACCCCUAGAUUCUGAAAACCGAAGUAACUACUGGCCAGUUGCUGUCUUCCCUUUUGGGGGGCACUGAGUGGCUGGUCAAUGUCCAGAUCCUGGCACUCUUGGAGGAGGCUACUUUUCUAGAUCCAUUUCAAUUAAGGUUUUAGCCUGGCUUUGGCACAGAAACUGCC
This 48683-nucleotide long non-coding RNA is filed under the name Podarcis lilfordi (Lilford's wall lizard). The record is from RNAcentral. Lineage: Eukaryota; Metazoa; Chordata; Lepidosauria; Squamata; Lacertidae.